This 65570-nucleotide long non-coding RNA is filed under the name Malus domestica (apple). RNAcentral's name for it is "long non-coding RNA (MDOM_LNC013383)". The record is from RNAcentral. Lineage: Eukaryota; Viridiplantae; Streptophyta; Magnoliopsida; Rosales; Rosaceae.
GGGCAUUGACAGUCCGUUAAGAUCAGUACGUGCUAUGUCUUCUCUCAGGGAGGGUGACUAGUCUCGAGUCAUUGGUGUGUGUGAUAUCAAGACAAGUACGUAGGUGCUCAAUAGAGAAUGAGUUCACUGAACACGAUCAACGAAGAGUUCUCAUACUCAUGUCACAUGAGAACUCAUGGUUGGGAUAAUGCAAAGUAGUCCUUUGACCUGAGGCAUCAUAGUUGUCUUGUGGUUAGGUCCUUGAUCUUUGAUUAUGUCAAAGUCACCCCAUCCGCGGGUAUCCACGGCAUCACCGGGGUUAAGCCACUUAGCCAUGGAGACAAGUGAAUGCGCAACAAGGGAUCUCUAACCUUCAAACCGUUUGGGGGAGAAUACUCUAUGAUAUGAUUAAGAAUCUCUGGCCAGAGUAUGAAUGAGAUUUAGGAAGUCGUUCCAAAUCACAUUCAAGGUAAUCAUAUAAGCCCACGAAUCACAUUGGAUAGUAAACAUGAAUAAACUAUCAAACCAGACAAUGUGGUCAAGAGUAUUGUAUUAGAGAAAGACCGUAUUGCAUUUGUAAUCCUAAACUGAUUAGGUUCUCCACCUCUUCUAAUUAGCUUGGGUAACCAUGAUAUACUGCUAGGUGUCACUCAUGGUUUGUGGAAGCCCUAAACAUGUAUAAUCACUAAAGGGAGAAUUGAAAGUAAGUUUCAAUUCACAAUCGAUUUGAAAUGGUUUUAAUCGCCCACUGCCUUGCUAAAAGGAACCUAAUGGAUCGUACACCGUGUAAGGUGGAGAUUGAAGAAACAAUGGAGAUGAGUAAGAAUAAUUAAAUGGUUUAAUUAUUUAUGGCAAGGAUUAAUUAAUAUGUUAAUUAAUCAAACGAAUAAGUUCGUUAAAGACCUUGGGAUAGUUUUGGACCUUAAGGCCCAAUGGGCUUCGAACGUCAAGCCUAUUGACUUAAGUUGUAUGACAACUUAAUGAAUAAUGAUUCACAAAGGCCCAAUUAGCCCAAUAAUACCCUAAGGCCGGCCGUUUAGAGAUGGAGUGAGUUUUGGACUUAUUUACAAGUUUGCCACUCCAAUGAAUUAAGGUAUAUAUAUGACUUUAUAGCCAAAAUUCAUUUAGGAUUUUCUUUUGGGGAAAGGAUGAGAACAUAAGCUCUCCUUUCUCUCUAAGGUGGUCGGCCUCCUUGGAGGGUUUAGCUAGCAAUCCUACUACUCCAAGGUCACUCAUUUCUUCUCCAAUCUAACCUUGGUGAAGAGACUUAUAGGUUCUCAAUUUUGGGAACUUGGGGAACCAUUUCAUCCAUCUAAAUCCAUAGAUCUAAGAUGCAAGGAAUGAAGGCCCUCUCUUUGGGUGAUUAGCCUUUGCUUAUGCAAAGAGGAAUCUACAAAGGUAUAAUUUCUCAACUAACAAAUGUUGUUUUAAGUUGAGUCAAGGUUCACCAAUCUACUAGGCUUUGAAUUUCAUGGGUAAUGUUUUGUUUUUGAGUGCAUACAAGCAUGAUUCCGCCUUUUAAUUGUUAAUUGCAUGUUAUAGAUGUUAUUCAAAUGAACAUGUUUUCACAAAAUUAUCCUUCAACCCAAAGGUUAAUUUAAGGAUAUCCACAAGAUAAUUCUCAAACAAAUAUUGCUUAUUAGCACACAACCCCAAAUCUUAACAUGAUUAAGAUUUGUCUUUCUUUCCAACUACAUCCUAUGGAGUCAUGAAAAUUUUGGAAGAUCUUCUAAUUGACAAUCAUAUUGUCUUAGAAGUAUACAUCCUAUAUAUAUGGGUAAUUGAUAACAUGCAACGAACUAAAUCUUAUUUGAGUUCGUUCUUCUCUUAAUGGAGAAAUCCAUUAUCAUAUGACGCUUCUUUCCUUGAUAUCUUUCAAGGAAACUGUUCUAAAGUGUUACCUUUCCUUGGAUCAAAUCUAAGGAGGUAAAUACUUUAGACAUCUUACUCAUCAACUUACAUUUCUUGAAUUCUUUGAAACCUUUCGCAAAGUAUUCGGACUUGUGUUUAUUCAAAAUAAAUGAUAGUCCAACCGAGAGCGAUCUUCGGUGAAUGUCAUACAACAUGAGUAGUAUUAUGUUGUGGACAAGUGCCACCAACAUCUAAGUGAAUUAACCUCAACAACUUUGUGAUUCUUUCUUCCUUUCCAAAAGAAUAAAGAUUCAAACAUUUUGCCUCUAUACAAUUUUAACAAGAAGGCAUUGGAUCUGGAUCUAACGAUCCAAAGCAUCCAUCUAUGACCAACUCAUAAUUUAUGUUUUAGAAGUAUCACAACUCAGUUGGGAUUAGUCACUACCUUGCAACCUUUUGGGUUUUAAGCAUCGUUAUAUUCUAAACAGUUAACACUACCAUAUCAUCUCUACUAUAGAGAUAAUCAAUUAGAUUACAAUAAUCUAAUCAUUCAUUAAUAAAGAACAAUGUUUUGUCAAACAAAACAUUCAUCCAUCUCUCAUAGUGACGGAAUUAAGUUCCUUAAAAUUGGAAUGUAAAGACAAUCUUUGGUUUUUCCAAUUUCUUUGGUAGUUCAUAUGAGGAAGUAAGUACAAUCUACUUUCGCAGAGAUCUACAUUUGAUUCACAUCCCGAAUGUGAAGUACUUUCUCUUCUCUCAUUAAUCUUCUACUUCUUAUUAGCCACACUUUUACAACGAUUGUAAAACAUAGUUACUAAUACGGAAUCAAGCAUUCAAGUAGAAGAACCAACUGUUUUGAACUUUUCAAGAACAAUUUACAACACCUUUGAAAGGUAUGUUCUUGACACUUGCAAGACAUUUCUUGCAAAUACCCCUUCCAAUGUCCAUCCUUUCAUAAAGAAAGUUUGUUCCCUUGGAGUUAUUUCCUCUUCUUCAUUUGACUUCUCCUUUGACUACAAUAGUCAUGGUCCCUAAACUCCCGCUAUCUCUUUUGAAACUUAUUUCAAUUGUGUUAUACACAUCAAACAAUUUGAAGAGCGUGUGGUUAUUGUUCACUAUAUAGUUUACAAUAAACUUAGUGAACCAUUUGGAUAGGGACACAAAGGUGAAGUACUUGCCUAAUUUCCGUCUCUCGAAGUGGUUUAACACUUCAACACUCAAUGAUUCAAAAUCAUCAUAAGUCCAUGUUGAUGGACUAUUUUUGUCAACCAACCAUUAUGUUCUAAACAUAAUUACAAACUUUCAAGAGUUGUUCAAGGCAACUCUCAUUUCUUCAUACAACAAUUUGUAAGUGAAGAAUCAUGGCACACAAAGUGUCCAUGUCCUUGUGCUUACUUCUUAAGUUCCUUGUUCAUGUAACAAAGAAAUGAGCACUAAUGUUUGCGUUAGCUAAGGGUUGUUCAAAGCAACUCUUAUUUCUUCAUACAACAAUUUGUAAUUGAAGAUAUAUGACAUUAAAAGUGUUGUCCCCUUUAUGAUAGACUUAUCUAACAUGUUCUUCCAAUGAUACAUUAUCAAUAAGAAGAUUGUGAGGAUGAGAUUACAUAGGUACAUAUACAAGCCAUUAUAGACAAUCUAUGGGAUUGUAGUACCAAGUCCGGGAACUAUAGCUUUCGGCUUUUCUUUGUCAAGUUUUUGGAUAGCUUUUGCAACUAUAUUGGUAAACAAAUACGUAAUGAAUAUAAAUUGAUUUUAAGCCAUUUGAUCCGAGUCUUUAAAUCAAAUAGCACCACCCACUAUUUUUGGCAAAUUCCAUAUCCCUCAUCGGAAUUUGAGAAUUUUGGAGGAAACUCUUAGUAGGGUAUGAGAGACUCAUCAUUACCAAGCCUACCUCACAAUGAUAUGAGAGAGUACGCUUACUCAUUUGCAUCUCUUGCAAGUACCCAUCUUAUUUGGCCUCUAGAGAAUGAAGCCUCACAAUGAUAUGAUGUUGGCUCCAUUGCACUUAGUUAAGUCAUUCCCACCAUGCAAGUUCGAGUAGGGGUUCAAGAACAACCUCACAAUGAUAUGAUUUUGGUCAUUCUCGUUGCCUACCUUCACAACAUCAUGUAUGCAUAUAGAACUCCUCCUGAGUGUAAGCACGCACUUUGUACUCCCCCAUGAUAGGGUAUAGUCGGUGUACGAGUCACAAACGAUCGAAGCCUACCACGGUGGAAGGCCACGAAAGAGUGUUCAAAGCACUCUCACGCUUAUCAACUUAAUAAUGGUUUGGUUGAGGGUUUUAGAUCUCAUCACAUAUAAGCAUGCAUUUUAAUCUUAUUAAAACAAUUUGGUCCUAUUACAACUAUUAGUCCAUGUGAUUGAUUUAGUUGUAUAUAAUACUCCCACUAUGCUUGUAAAACGGUUUUUAAAGCAAGAGUAUAUGGUACUACUAACAUAAGGUUUGCAUUCAUUGAUGGACUAUAUAGUUGCCUUAGGGCCUUAGGAUGACUAUGAACCCUUGAUUAGAUCCAACACGAGCCUAGUGUUGAAUCUCGGUCUAGGGAUGGUGAUUGAUUUUAGUUACGCGUUUAAUCAUAUUAAGGCGUGUUUUUCUUAUUAGGCGUUGGACCCAACUACUCCAAUUUCAUGCAUAUCAAAUAAAACAAGAAAGGAGUACUUCAAAGUAAAGAAGAGCUUAUGCUCUUUUACAACAUUUGUUCAAAACAAAUUACUUUAAAGUAAAGAAGAGCUUAUGCUCUUUUACAACAUUUGAUCAUGUCAAAUUACAACCAAAAUCUAAUCUACACAUUCUCAUGGUUCAAACAAAUUUGAGACGGCCUUUCAAAUAGCUCAAUUAUUGUAGGCUUAAGUUCAUAAUCACCCUUUCUUUAAUUGAUUAACGCUUUAACUAAUUAAACUUGAAUGCAACAUUUUCAUUUGGUUUUUGUUUAGAAUUUAUUUAAAUGGAGCUAAAUGAAAUGAAAAUCCAAUUCUCAUUUAAAGACACAAAACUAUUUUGUUCUCAACUAAUUUGGGCCAAAUGCAAUAACCACAACUUUUUGGGCUAUGUUGCAAAACACAAACUUUUGAGGUCACUUUGUAAGAACACAAAAGUCCACUACUUCAUGUAAUUACAACUAGAACCCAAAAAUUUCAUCAAAUACAAAAACUUCAUUAAAGGAGCAAAACAAUUUGUCCUUUAGUGUUUUUGGGCCUUUACGUAAAAACGUAAACUUUCGGGUUAAAGUACAAAUACACAAAAGUAUCAAAACUUUAUGUAAUUGCAUAAAAGCCCCAAAAGUACCUUAUUUUAAUAGGGUGGCCGGUUGGAGAGAGUGAAAGGUUUUGGUGAAAAAUUCAAAAUUUGAAGUGUUUUGUGCAAGUGGAUAGGUAGGUGAGGAAAAGUUGAUUGGGAUGGGGUGUAAGAAAAAUGUUUUGUCAAACAAUAAAGGCAUAAAUCAUCCAUCACCAAUCAAUAAUAAACCAAAACUUUAUUCAAAGCAACAAACAUAUUGAAUCAAAACACCAAAACUUUUUGUUCUUAGUAAGAACAUCAAGAACAUUGAAGAACACACAUGAAAACUCAUAAGAGCUCCAUGAAUGUUUUCACUCCAUAAAAUUCAAAAAUUCACUACUCAAAAGGGGGUUAACAUCCUAGGGUACUUAGGGGUUCCAAAAGUCACCUUAAAACACUUUUAAUAAGACAAACAAGAACCCAAAAAACCACCCUUUGGAUUUGGCCGAAUUUCCCCAAAAACAUGGCACCAAAUUUUAGCUCCAAAAUUCAUGCUCAUAUGAACUACAUCUACAACAUUUGAGAUGGCAAAUUUUCUAACAAAAUUUACAUUCAAAUAAGUAAGAAUAAAGCUUGUAACAAUUACAACAUUCAAAUCAAAGACUAUGAACUACAAAACCCAAAAGGAUUCACCAACUACUAGACCUAGGCUCUUGAUACCACUUGAAGGAAAUUUUGUGAAAAACAUGUUCAUUUGAGCAACAUCUAUGGCAUGCAAUUAACAUUUAAAGGCGGAAUCAUGCUUGUAUUCACUCAAAAACAAAACAUUACCCAUGAAAUUCAAAGCCUAGUAGAAAGGUGAACCAAGACUCAACUCAAGAACAAAGUGAGUUGAGAUAUUUUAUACCUUUGUUGAUUUCUCUUUGCAUAAGCAAAGGCUAAUCACCCAAGGAGAGGGCUUUCAUUCCUUGCUUCUUAGUUCCAUCGAUUUCUUGGAGGAGAAUGGUAGAAAGGAUUCUCCAAGUUCCCAAAAUUGAGAACUUCUAAUUUUUCCACACCAAGGAGGGACUUGAAGAAGAGAUGAGUGACCUUGGAGGAUGAGAGAUUGCUAGCUACUCUCCUCCAAGGGGACCGGCCUCUUAGAGAGAAAAGGAGAGCAUUGUGUUCUCAUCCUUUCCCCAAAAGAAAACCCUAAGGAUGAAAUGGCUAUAAAGUUGCCUUUAUACCACCUCACAAUGGAGUGGCAAACUUGCAAUUAAAGCAAGUUCACUACCCUCCUCUAUUUGGCCAGCCUUAAGGGUUUAUUGGGCUUUCAAGCCCUUUGUUUAUUCAAGUUGUCAUACAAGUUGAGUUAAUGGGCUUGACAUUCAAAUCUCAUUGGGCCUUGCGGCCUAAAACUAACCCGAGGUCUUUAACGAACUUUAUUCGUUUGAUUAAUUAACAUAUUAAUUAAUCCUUGCCAUAAAUAAUUAGACCAUUUAAUUAUCCUUACUCAUCUCUGUUGUUUCUUCAAUCUCUACCUCACACGGUGUACGAUCCAUUAGGUUCCUUUUAGCGAGGUAGUGGGCGAUUAGAACUCUUUCAAAUCGAUUGUGAAUUGAAACUUACUUUCAAUUCUACCUCUUGUGAUUAUACAUGUUUAGGGCUUCCAUAAACCAUGAGUGACACCAAGCAGUAUGUCAUGGUUACCCAAGCUAAUCAGAAGUGGUGGAGAACCUAUUCGGUUUAGGAUUACAAUGCAAUACGGUCUUUCUCUAAUGAAAUACUCUUGACCACAUUGUUUGGUUUGAUAGUUUAAUCAUGUCUACUAUCCAAUGUGAUUCAUUUACUUAUAUGAUUACCUUGAAUGUGAUUUGGAACGACUUCCUAAAUCUCAUUCAUACUCUGGCCAGAGAUUCUUAAUCAUAUCAUAGAGUAUUCUCCCUCAAACAGUUUGAAGGUUAGAGAUCCCUUGUUGCGCAUUCACUUGCCUCCAUGGCUAAGUGACUUAACCCUAACUAUGCCGUGGACAUGCUCUGACAUAGUGACUUUGACAUAGUCAAAGAUCAAGGACCUAACCACAAGACAACUAUGAUGCCUCAGGUCAAAGGACUACUUUGCAUUAUCCCAACCAUGAGUUCUCAUGUGGCAUGAGUAUGAGAACUCCUCGUUGAUCGUGUUCAGUGGACUCAUUCUCUAUUAAGCACCUACAUGCUUGUCUUGGUGUCAAUCACACCAAUGACUCGAGACUAGUCACUCUCCUUGAGAGAAGACACAGCACGUACUGAUCUUAACGGACUGUCAAUGCCGAAUUGGCAAUCCUAUGAUCAGGAACGUUUAGGAUAUGUAUACGAAAGAGAAUGGUCUCAUGAAUCUAACUUCUUUAAAUUACAUCCUCCUAAUUACAUAUUCCUUGGACUUAUCGUUUAAGCAUAUAACAUUUAUAUGAGACAGCUUAAAACAAUAAUCUUUGCCCUUGAUAUUAAACUAGAUUAGUUUAACAUGUGAAAUGUCCGUAAAGUAUCAUCAUAUGAUUGGUUUUAGGGCACAUUUCCAACAUUGCGUUCAUCACACACAUGAUGUAAGUAUUCUUGGUACUCUAGCCUAAAUGUAUUAACUUUUUCUAAGUUUUGAGUGACUUAGACGACUUAUUGACAUUCUAGAACAUCGUCUUGGUGGACACCUUUAUACUUAAACGAAAAACCUCCCUGCCAAGGAAAAAUCCCCAAUUGAGAGAAGUUGAUGGCCUUGAAGCAGGGCUAAUGUAUCAAUAAUUGUGUGCCACCAGAGAUUUACCAAUCAAUCCCACAACCAUCUAGUCAUUUCUACCAACCCUUUUGAGAUAGGAAACUAGAAGUAGUUUUGGUUCCUUGGCAGUACCCGCUAAAAUAUCACCUAUUAGAAUUCCUACGAAGUUUACUUCGUCAAGAUUCUAUGAUUGUUUUUAACGACAACCUUGUGCGAAUCUAGGCGAUCCUUCAUCAAGAUUCUAUAACAUUUGGGAGGAUAGCCACUUUUGGUCCAGGAUAGCACUAAUCUUUUCAAACGCACUAGUGAUCAUUCCGGAUCUUCAAGAGGAAGAUCAAUUUCCAUUUAAAUCCAUUCUAGGUAGGCUAUUAGCAAAUUUAUUUUUCCAGCCUUAGGACAUUCCAACCAAUGACUAGUUUCUAGAAUUUCUUUUGGUGUUGUACUCGUCAUUUUGACGAGCAUAGGCACAGGUGUACAAGUUGUUUUACCUAUGGUCAGUAAAAGUUCCCGAAGUGGUAAGUAUAUUCCCUAGAAUCAACGGAACCAACUUACAGGACCAAUUCCUUACCAAUCAUCCGAAACUACCACCUGAGCGGGCUCUAGCUUGUCAUUAGCCUACGGUGGUGCUACUAAUUGACGAUACUGUUCGAUAUCCAAGAACAAUCAACCAGUAUUCAGGCGGUGUGAUUCCUGAUACCAGACACAUGCUAGUAUCUGGGAGUGAUACCCAGAACACCGGUUCACCGUUUCAGGGUAACGAACAAUAUCAAAAAUAUCAAAAGUAUCAUAUAUGCAUUAAUUAGUGGUGCAACCGAUAGAUUGAUUAACAGUGACUACUUGAGCCGAAGAAACUAAAUGUUGAAAACUUAGGAGUAAACUUUGUUGGAGAACAAUAAACUUGUAGUUGUUUUAACCAUAUUUUCCACUUAGGUAACCAAAACAACUUCGACCAGCCAUAUUUCCGAUCACCUCAACAAGUAAAUAUUAGUUUGAAGCAUGAAUUAGUUCCCGCUGUAAGAGCGAAUUGAGUAUCAAGGAAGUUGUGAAGACCUAUUAGCACAUGGCGUAGUGCAAGGAAGUAGUAUGACACAUUUUGAGGACGUAUACCUUUGGCGUCAUUUCUCAAAAUUUUACUUGGGAUAUCACCAAGUGGUGAAGUGAAGUACACCAUCGUUCCACUUUCUCGUACUACAUCAGUUUUUCUUACAUCUUUUUUAUUAGGAACUUAUUUAGAGAACUUAGUUACUAAAGCUUACCGAUUAGGAAUUCACCCAACCAAACACUUCACCGUAGGGAACCUCAAACCCAACCGCGAAGGCGAAAGACCAAACUUUAGGUUUGUACCUAGACUUUAGCAACUUGAUCGAGUGACGACAAAAAAAAAAAACCAUUAGCCCUUACUUUGAGUUGAUGUUCUCUUCGACCAACUUUUAGGGCCCGAGUUUUCUUCCAUAACCUGACGAAUUUGUAGUAGCCUUGUCGACAACUUUCUCACUUAUCCCAGCAACAAGAUUAAAUUCUCUAAUCACUAGCAGUCAGCUUUAUAUCAAAUUCUUCAAAUGUUACUUUUGUUUUAAAUGGGUACUUUUCCUGGGGGAUGUGAUCUUAGUGGGCGAUAUCCUUUUCUUUUUCCCAAAAGGUUGUAGCGAAAGAAAGUUGAAAUUCUCAAAAGUGUUGUGAAAUGCAAGAUAUCUUGGCCUUAUCGAUUUUAUCAGUAGUCCGUUAGCGAUUUUUCAGCUGUAGUGUUUUUCUAUCCAAGUCAGUUGAGGAAAAUCAAUUUAGUUGAGACAUGGAAUAUGAUUAAAGUUGUGACAGCUGAGGUGACGUCUAUUUUGACCAUUGUUCAUACGCUUCUCGAUGACACUGAUUAUUUUGAAAUCUACUAUGAUGUUCCACUGAAUGCUUUGGCUACGUACCGAUGUAGCAUGACGGUGUAUCGCUUAUGUUUUCCAACGGCUGGGACGGUAUGAAAUGAACCACCUUACUUGAAAACCAGAUGACACUUCUAUGUGGGGAAGCAUGUCCAAAAUCCUUACCAACCUUAGACUUCUCAAAUACAUUUUCGUUUGUAAUGAGCUAAAUUUCUGACAACGACGAUGGAAGAACCAGAUCAAUGUCUACGCUUGCACUAUCGUGUAUUACCCUGAUUGUGCAAAUGUAAUUAAUGUUACAGCAGUAAAAGACAUAUCUACCCUUGAACAUCGUUAGCUUGUCCUAUCCCAUUCUAGUUGGGAUUCACGAGUAUCGAUUCAACGUUACUUACAAAUGAGCAAGAAUCGUUCAAGUGGUUAUAAUCACUUCCUAGAUCUGUUUGGAGUUGGGAAAUAUCACCAUAAGCUCUCGAUACAAGGUAUCUUGUACAUGUGGAGAUAAUGAUGAUGUUUCAGUGAUUAUUGAUCGACUUGACAAGUCAACUCACUCUUUGUUGGCCCAGAGUGACCACACUUUAGACCAUUUGGUAAAAUUACCCAUUCUUGAAUUCAUCAGAUUUUCUGGCAUUUCGAUCAACAUCUACUCUAAUUAUGAUUCCAUAUUUACCUCUUGGUGUUGGAAGGCAUUCCAGUUAACCGUGAGUACAUAGAUAUUGCACUUUAUAUUAAUUUUGAAGCAGAUAAACCGUUUAGGUGAAUCGUUCGACCAUUUAUAUUUUAGUUAUGACCAUUAAUUCCUCAAUCACCGAACAAAUACUUUGUUGAACGAAUCGUUACCGUUGGUGAUUAAAUAUUUCAAGAACUAUGGUCAUAGUAAGAUGUUAUGCAUUCAAUCCAGUUAUCUUGUACUUUAGAUUUGAUGGACUUGUUUUGACCCUCAGAUUCUUGAGUGUUCUUUUAUCCUUCUUGACAUAGUUUUUCACUAAAUCCGAGAGAAAUUCAAUAUGAAUCUAUUCAUUAUGGCUUUAUGAACUGCAUUGUUCGGCUAUAUGGUGUGUGUCAUGACACGUGUUUCACUUCCAAGCCUUGGGAUGUCUUCUUGAAGGCUAUGAGUACAAAAUUGUUGUCUGGUAUCACACUUCAUCCUCAGAUAAAUGGCCAGUCUGAACGAACUAUUAGGAACUUCGUGGAAUGUUGCGUUUGCCCGUUAUAUAAUUUUAGCAUGAUUGUAGUACACUUAUCUUUGUUAGAGUUGCGUGUAACUAUGGUUACACUUUCGGUUUUUGGGUAUGGCACCUUUUGAGACGUAGUACAUAAAUUCUAUACAUAAUACAUAAUUGGCGGGUAAGUAUUGCAAACAAGUAUUCGAAUGAUCAAAUUGCAAGGUAGCAAAAUUGCACGUUACUAACAAUGUUGGCCGAGAGGGUAGUGCUUGAGUGUGAUUGAGGCGUUAAUCGGAUGAUUAGGUGUAUUUCCCGAUGAGGAGCAUGAUGGUACUAUUGCAUCCUUGGGAAUUUGUCAUUUGUGUAUUGAGACAACAGUGAGUUGUUGGAAUUGCGGGCUGCAAACCAUAAUAUCGAUGACUUAUUCGUUGGGUUUGUUAAGCAAGUGGAUAAGUAGGCCGUCUACGUUAGUAUUUUUAUUUCUUCAUUUAGUUAUUUACGUAUUGUUUGGACUUGACCCAAAGAUACUACAUGCAUAUCUUCAGAUUAAGUGAUGCUAGGAAUACAUAGGUGAAAUUUUUUCUAUGUUCAAUUUUGAUUUUGUAGAACUAUUUUAACUUUACUUUAUCAUACACGUAUUUUGACGUUAUAUUAUUAUUCAUAUAUGUAUCUUGGACUUUAUGUUUUUAUAAAGGUUAUAUUAUAGUUUUGUACUAAAGGAGAAUGAAAGUUUAAGUUUGGAGGCAUGAAAGAGGAAUCAUUGCAAUCCGAGACAGAAUGGCAUUCUCUUCUAUGCAGCCACUCUAACUUGAUUUCUUCCUUAUAUAUAUUAUUCUUCUUACCAUUUUAGAGUAUUUUAUGUAUAACAAGUGAUUUCAAAUUUCGGGAACGAAAUUUUUUUAAGGUGGGUAGAUUUUGACAACUUGUCCUUAACUUUACGAUUUUAUAAUUCUAAAAGUGUGAGUUGGCCAAAAUGCCCUUAGAAGAGAGAUUGUUAACUUUCUUUGAUUGUCAUUUCAUGAUGUGUACGUGCUUCUAUUUUACCAUAUUCUCAAAGUCCUCGGUGCUAAGAACGCAUAUUCUCAAAGUACUCGGUGGCACAAGUGGAAUCGAAGUUGGAGCUACAAUGAAGAUUUUACGAAAAUAUGAAGUAGAAGAGCAUUUUAGUAAAUUCAUUAUUUAAGACUUUCACCCUUAUUAUUUUAUUAUUUUCUUAUUAGACAUCUGGGUCCGUGGGAUCCACACACAUGGGUCUCCUCUCCUUUUUGUCCCCAUGUCCUCUCCUUUGCCUCUCUCGGACAUCUCUCUCUUCACCCACUCCACCUAUCUCGUGUCCUCCCAUUCUCUUAGACCUCUCAUUUCCUGCCACCUCACAUCUCUCAAACUCUCAACUCUCUCUCUCUCUUUUCUUCCUCGGCAAGCAAAGGAGAGGACACAGGGACAAAAAGGAGAGAAGACCCAUGUGUGUGGGUCCCACGGACACAGAUGUCCAAUAAGAAAAUAAUAAAAUAAUAAGGGUGAAAGUCUUAAAUAAUAAAUUUACUAAAAUGCCCUUCUACUUCAUAUUUUCGUAAAAUCUUCAUUGUAGCUCCAACUUCAAUUCCGCUUACGUCUAUGCAUUCGUACCAUCGAGUACUUUGAGAAUAUGGUAAAAUAGAAACUCGUACACAUCAUGAAAUGACAAUCAAAGAAAGUCAACAAUCUCUCUUCUAAGGGAAUUUUGGCCAACUCACACUUUUAGAAUUAUAAAAUCGUAAAGUUAAGGACGAGUUGUCACAAUCUACCCAACCUAAAAAAAUUUCGUUCCCAAAAUUUGAAAUCACUUGUUAUACAUAAAAUACUCUAAAAAGGUAAGAAGAAUAAUAUAUAUAAGGAAGAAAUGAAGUUAGAGUGGUUGCAUAAAAGAGAAUGCCAUUCCGUCUCGGAUUGCAAUGAUUCCUCUUUCAAGCCUCCAAACUCAAACUUUCAUUCUCCUUCAGUACAAAACUAUAAUAUAACCUUUAUAAAAACAUAAAGUCCAAGAUACAUAUAUGAAUAAUAAUAUAACGUCAAAAUACGUGUAUGAUAAAGUAAAGUUAAAAUAGUUCUACAAAAUCAAAAUCGAACAUAGAAAAAAUUUCACCUAUGUAUUCGUAGCAUCACUUAAUCCGAAGAUAUGCAUGUAGUAUCUUUGGGUCAAGUCCAAACAAUAUGUAAAUAACUAAAGAAGAAAUAAAAAUACGUAAAUAACUAAAUGAAGAAUUAAUUUGGUCCCAUAUUAUUUGGUCUAGCCAAGAUUCUUUUAGCAUCCCUUAGUUUUGUGAACAAAUUUUGCGAAUUAAUUGAUGAAAUCUGCUUUCCGACAAAGGAAUUGAUGAAUUUCUUGAGCCAAAAGACUCAAAAGAACCGGAUGAAUCUCUUAGCAGAAUCUCACAACUGCCAGUAAAAGUAUCAGUUGCUAAAGGAGACUCACCCCAAAUAAUUUCGUUUUCCCAGUCUUGUAGAUUAAGAGGGUAAAAGUUAAAACUCAAAAGUGAUUGCUUUUCGUUUUCUGCAUAAAAAAUUACAGUUUGAUCCCAUCUCAUUGGUUCAUGAAUGAAAUGUGAAUCCUUCAUUUUUGCAUAGUCCAAAUCAUUGUCAUUGAAUGAGAACUCAGACAUGUCAUGUUUCUCUUUUGAAUGUGCUAGUGUCAAAGAUUGAAACCCCUUUAAGAAUGCCUCUUCAUCAUUCUCUUCAACAACAACACGAGAAACAUUCAAUGAUUUAUUAUGCCUAUUAUGGUCUCUUUUUUGUUGUUCAUCGUUCCAAAAACAUAACUAGUAUCACCAAAUAUUUUUGAAAGUCAUAGUUUGUCAAACGCCAUUCAUAAAUCCAUCAAGUGAUCGAAUCUCUUUUUGGUCUUAACAACUACGUCGUCUAUGUAACAUUCUAUGUUUUUGUGUAGCAUGUCAUUGAAGAUUUUCUGAAUUACGCGUUGAUAUGUAACCCCAGUGUUCCUUAAGCCAAAGGGCAUUACCUUGUAGCAGUAGAUACCUUUUAGAGCACAUAAGGUUGUUAGUUCCUCAUCUUUGGGAGACAUGUGGAUUUGAUUGUAUCCAGAAGAGUCGUCCAUGAAUGAUAGUGCCGCGUGGCUAGUGGUUACGUCCACCAUGAUUUCGAUGAUUGGCAAGGGAAAGUCAACCUUCAGGCAAGCAUCAUUGAGGUCAAUGAAAUCUACGUAAACACAUAUUUGUCCAGAUUUCUUAAGGGCAAUGAUGAUGUUGGAGAUCCAUUUAGGGUAUUGCACCUUUCGAAUGAAGCAUGCUUUGAUUAGCUUAUCAAUCUCGGUCUCAAUUAGUAGUGCACUUACGAAGAUAGGCUUCGGUUCCUCACUUGUGCCUUAGUUGAGCAACUUGAGAUCAUCAACCGUGGCUUGCCCCCCAUCCUCGAGCUGUGGUGGUGCAACAGGGACGUCAUCCUUGGGGAUUUCAUCUUCUUUGUCUUCUUCAAUCGUGAUGUGGAAGACGUCUUGGACCGCCUCUUAGUAUUGUCCUCUUGGGCUUGUUGGUGUGAAGAUUGGCCAAUGUGGACGAUGGUGCACCUCCUUACCUUCAGUGGCCAUUUUUGUUGGAAAUAUGCCCUGAAAGUCAAUCUUUGGAAGAAACCUUUCAGGACAAAUGAAUCGAUGUAUGGAUGACUCUUAUACAUCAAAUGGCAAAGACACGAAUUAGGACUAUCUCAAUAAACGAUAUAUGUCCUAAAUAGUGUAUCCAUGGACAAUGGAUCGAUUGAAGAAGUAAUCUAAUGAUGUUAGACUACAGAGACCUUCUUCACAUAACCAUUAUGUCCAAAAGGUUCCUAGUUAUUGGAUUGUCGGAGGGAAACUGACAAUGCUUAGACCGGUACAUACUGUGUCCGCUUCAAAUGGAAGGAUGGAAAGUCUCAUCCCAUUCGUGUUGUGACACUAAGACAAGUAUGUAGGUGCUCAUUAAGAGAAUGGGUUCACUAAACGCAAUCGAACGAGAGUACUUGCAUGGAGGUCUACUCACAUGUCAAGCAAGUAACUCUAAUGGUUGGAAUAAUGUAAGUAGUCCUUUGACCUGAGGCAUCGUCGUUGUCUUGUGGCUAAGUACUUAAUCUUUGAUUAUGUCAAAGUCACCCCAUUCGCGGAUGUCCACGGCAUAAUUGGGGUUAAGCCACUUAGUCAUGAAGGCAAGUGAAUGCGCAACCAGGAAUCUCUAAUCCUCGAUUAGAGAGGAAGAAUACUCUAAGAUAUGAUUCGGGAAUCUUCGGCCGAAGUAUCGAGCGUAAUAAAGGAAAGCGUUCCUAUACGACUCAAUAGAAUCAUAUAAGAAGGAAUAAUCACAUUAGGGGUUUGGCAUAAUAUAUCCAUACCCUAGUAAUGUGAUUGAGAGUAUUGUUUUAGAGAAGGAUCGAAUUACAUUGUAAUUCCAACUGAAUAGGUUCUCCGAACAACUUCUACAUUAGCUUGGGUAGCUAUGACAUAUGGUUAGAUGUCACUCAUAGCUUGUAAGUUCUUCUAGAUGAUUAAAUGUAGUCAUCAAAGAAGAAAGGUGAAUUAAAAUGAAGUUUUAAUUCACUAAGUGAUUGGAUUAAAUAUAAUCAAUUGGAUUGAUGUCAAUCACCUCACUGCCUUGCUAAUUAGAACCUAAAAUGAUUGUACACCGAUACACUCUUGUGUAGUGAGUAAUUAAUGGAUGAUGGAAAUAAUUAAUUGGAUUAAUUAAGUGUUGUGAUUAAUUUAGAAAGUCUAAAGAAAUCAUAAAAGCGAUAAAAGAUCGUUUUGGGCUUAAAGAAACGUUCGGGUUUAAUUGGGCCCAUUGGGCCUUUAUUCAAGCAUAGGAUGACUUGAAAUAAUAAAAGCCCAAAGCCCAAACCAAACACUAAAGGGCCGGCCACUUAAAGGGUUUGGGAGAGAUAUUUAGUCAAGUUGUUGACUAGGUUUCUUUUUGUCUAUAUAAGGAACUUUAUAGCACAAAGUUCAUUAGAGUUUUUGUGUGUUUUUGAACAACAAAGAGGCAAAAGAAAAUAGCUCUCUAAAACCACAAAGGCCGGCCACCUAGAGGGUGAAUUUACUAACAAUCUUUCACCCUUUUGGUUAUUCCUCCAUCCAUCUCACUACACUAGUGGGUGUGGAUCUUUAGAGGUCUUCUCCUUUGGAGACUAAAGGAGAACCUUGGAGCACUCUUACUAACAAAGUGGAGGAGGCAAGGAGGGAGGCUAGGCUCAAGGACUUCAAGGAACAAAGGGCUUGGAGGUGGUCCAUCCUUGGUCUCAAGUCUAGAUCAAGAGGUAUAAGACUAAACUUUCACUUUGUUCUUUACUAAAAUGUUUUGAUGCAUUAUAUAUAAACCUAUGAACCUUGAAGGGGAUUUGCAUGACUAUAGCUUUGAUAUUAUUUGAUAAAUUGCUUCCAUUGCUCAUGUAUAUAAAUUUUGAAUUGUAUAUGCAUGCUAGUCAUUUAGAAAUCCCAUGUGUUAAGCUCAUAAUUUUCCCUUCAAGUGGUAUCAAAGCCAAAGGUUUAUGUAUAAUGUGUCCUUUUGGAUUUUAUGCAUAUGGUUAUUAAUAUUAUGUAUGACAUAAUUAUUGGUUCAUUCAAAAUAAGUUUAUCUUUUGUUUUUCAAUAGUUGAAAAAUGUUAGUCAAUAGUUGAGAAAGAUAUGUAUGCAAAAAGAUGUUUUGUAUGCAUGAAUGAAAAUUGAGUUUUGAACUAGUUUGAGAUAUUAUUUCUUCAUUUAAAGUAUGUUUAUCUUUUGUUUUGCAAUGGUUGAAAAAUAUAAAUCAAGAGUUGAAAAAGAUAUGCAUGUAAAAAGGUGUUUUAGAUGCAUGAAUGAAGAGUGAGUCAUGAACAAAAUUUUGGGGUUUUGUUCUUUGUGGUUGGCACGGUUUUGGGUUUUUUUUGGGCAUGUGUUUGUGUUUUAUUGUAAGACACUCACACAUCAUUUUAAAGGUAGAAAGUAGAAACCUUGUCACUUUAGUUUUUGGGUUUGAAAAAUCACCAAGAAUACACAAAUCUUGAAAAUAUGUUCAUGGUUUUGUUCUUGGUGUUCAUAGUUUGGUUUUGGGUGAAAAUGGUUUUAUUUGGUUUUCAUGCAUAGUUUUAUGGUUUUGGAUGAUGUUCUUACCAUCCAUAACCAUAUUAAAACUUAUAAAACCCUAGACUUGUCUAGGAGAUUUCCAUCACCUUUUUCAUUAAAAUCAUUUAAACCAAAACCAAGUGACAUGCAAAUUUGGAUUUUUCUACCUUGCAUUGAAUUAAAGCAAGAUGGGUGAGACUUCCCAUCUCCCCUUAAUGUGGCCCGCAACCCUAGUGGAUUUAUCCACUUGGGGGGUCUUUUGUAAUUUGGAAAAAGAUAUUUUAUACUUUUGAGUAUUUACGGUUUGACCCCUAACUUUUUCUUAUUUGCAUUUAGGCCCCUACUAACUAGAAAGUUAAAAUAAUGAUUUUAAUUUUGUUAGUUGUUUAAACUCAUAAUUCUAUUAUGCCCAUAUGCACUAAAUCUAAAUGUUCAUGUUGCAUUCCGUUUUGAUUAUUUAAUGUGAUUAAGUAGUUAGAAAAAAGGGUGACUAUGGACUUAUGCCUUAAACGAUAAUUGAGCUAUGAGAUAAGGCGCUAAAAUCAAAUUGUUUGAACCUUGGGAAUGUGUUUUAAUUACUGUUUUUCUUGGACCUUGUCACAUUUGACAUUAAUCUAUCUCUCCCUCUUAGCAUGUGUAAUUUGUAGGAAUUUGUACAAAUCGGUUUGUAAUUCUUAUUAUUUCUUAAUCUCUUUUAGUUAGUUGAUUCCCUCUAGUGCUAGACUAGAGUUUCUUUAACUAUUGGUAAGGAGACAUAACUAAAAGAGGGUUUUGACAUGAGAUUAAAGAUUAAAUGGGUCCAAUGCCCUAAUUAGCAAUGAAUGAUUGUCUUUCAUUUCUAAUGGCUCAAUGAAAAUGUUUUAAUUGGAUUGAAAAGCACGUAAUUAAAUUGACACAACCUCCCCGAGUUUAUAUUCAACAAUGUUGGCUCGUUGUUGCAAUAACCUAAUAAGUCCAUGGUCAUCCAAGAGCCUAAGAUAACUAUAAAGUCCAAUUUCAAAGGAAUGCAAAAACCUUAGUAGUAGUAGUUACUUCCAAUAUUUGAAAAAUUAGUUUUUGAUAUUGAUUUGUUUUUCUUAAAACAAAUAGUGGGAGUAUCAUACGCUACUAAACUAUAAUGAAACAAUUAGUAGUUAUAUAUAUAUCUCCAAUAUUUUGAAAAAUGUUUUGAUAUUGAUUUGUUUUAUGAAAACGAAUAGUGGGGAUAUCAUAUAUGCUACUAAUUUCAUUAACUUUGGACUAGUAGUUAUAAUAGGACAUUAUUUAUUUGAAUAUGAUUAAAUAAAUAAAAUUUAUGAGACCUUAAAUCCCUCAACCAACAUACAAUAUUAAGUUGAAAGCGUUAAGAGUGCUUUGAACACUUUUUCGUGGCCUUCCACCGUGGUAGGCUCCAAUCGUUUAUGACUUGUACAUCCGCCUUCACCCUAUCAUGGGGGAGUGCAAAGUGCAUGCUUAUACUCAGGAGGAGUUUAUUUAAAACAUUUGAUGAGGUUAAGGUAGGCAACGAGUGUGGCCAACAUCGUAUCAUCGUGAGGUCAUGCUUGAACCCCUAUCUAAACCGGCAUGGUGGGAAAGAACUUAACUAAGAGAAAAUAAUGCCAACAUCGUAUCAUCGUGAGGCAUUACUCUCUAGAGGCCAAAAAGAUGGGUAAUCACAAGAAGGUUGUUGUGAAUGGGUAAUUGUACCCUCUCAUUAUUAUUUUUGCUAGCCAACAUCGUAUCAUCGUGAGGUGGGCUUGGUAAUAGUGAGCCUCCCAUAACCCGCUAGGAGCUUUCUUUGAAAUCUCCCGGAUUCCAUCUUGAGGGAUAUGGAAUUUGCCAAAAAUGGUGGGUGGUGUCAUUCGGUUUAAAGACCCGAAUCGUUUGACUUAAUCAACAAUCAAACUAAUUAUUUUAUUGUUUAUGUAUUUAGAUAUGGUUGGAAGCACACUCGCGAAAAUACUCGACAAACAUUGCCUAGAGGGGCACAAUUUCCCAUCAUGGUAUCGUAAUGUCAAGAUUCUCCUAACAUUGGAGAAGAUUGUUUACGUACUAGACAAGGCUCCACCUCACAUACCUCUCGGCCCUGGGGCUACUGAGGAUGAACGUGCUAAGUUUGACAAGCACGUUGAGGAUGACACACAAGCCAAGUGCUAUCUGUUGGCUUCCAUGAAUGAGGAGCUACAGAGACAGCACGAGGGCAUGGACAGUGCAUCUUCCAUAAUACUCCAUCUUACGGAGUUAUAUGGUGAAGGGACGCGCAACCGUCGCUUUAGCACUGUUUGUGAACUUGUGAAGACCAAGAUGGUCAAGGGGGCUCCAGUGCAUCAACAUGUACUGAGGAUGAUAGGAUUCAUUGAACAAUUGGAGAACCUUGGUACUCCACUUGACGGGGAAUUUUCAUAUUGGCUUCUCUUUCUGAUUCAUUCGCGCAGUUCGUAAUGAACUACAAUAUGAAUAAGAUGGAUAGUACUCUCUCUGAGUUACUAAAUAUGUUAGUAACUCCCGAGAAGACUAUGAAGAAAGAGAACGUUGUAGGGACUUCUGCAGUAGUCUACAACAAGCCAUCCUCUUCCAAGGCCAAGCCGCAAGGCAAAGGCAAAGGGAAGGAGAAGAAGCCACCCACUCCUAAGCCGAAAGGAGGAGUGAGGAAAAAGAAGGCAAAGGAGCCCAAAGGGACUUGCCACCACUGUGGAAAGGAGGGGCAUUGGAGGAGGAAUUGCAGGUUAUACCUUGCAAGUCUUAAGGACAAGCCACAAGGUAUGGUUUAUGUUCUUGUCUUCAAUUCUAAAUGUUAGAUCUUCUAAAUAUUUAUAUUUGAUAUAAAGAGCUAAUCACUUGUAUAAUUGUAUAUAGGUGGAGAAGCCAAGUAGAAGAUGAACAAGCAAGGAAAAAGUGGUGAAGGGUUCGGCCACUAUAUUUUUGCUUACUACUUAGGAAGUUUGUUAGGCAUUAAAGAUUGUCUUUAAACUUUCUUAUUUUGUUAAGAACUUAUUAUGUGGCUUCAUAUGAUGGAAGACCACUAUUAGUGCCUAAAUGUAUAAAGGUAUUUAUAUUAGUCUCUAAAUGUAUAGAGCUAAUACUUUUUGUAUUAAACAUUAUGAAUGUUUGAAAUAUCAUAUUAAUGUAAUGUGAAGAAUGCCUUUUUAAUAUACUAUUUCCUUAAAGUAGUGUUAUGAAUUGAAAAUUGUCUUGUUGUAUCUUAGUUGAGAUACAAGAGUUAUAUCACUUAUUGUAAUAUGAUAACCAAACUUUAGAUUUAUCAAUUAUGGAUAGAUCUCACAUGUAGGACAUAAAAGGAUACAAUGAAUCUUUAGAUUUGGUUCCAUUUGUCUACCUAUGAGUUCUAUAUGAAUUGACAAAAGUCUAGAGUAUCCUUUCUUGAAGAAAAGGAAGAUCACAUUAUAAUGAUAUAAGUAAUAAGAAAAAACGUUUCUUAUAUGGUUAUCACUUGAAACACAAUGAUCAAGAUCACUCUUGAUUCAAUUAGUAAUUUUGAACAACUAAUUGGGCAUUCUUUAAAAGGUUUUAAAAUGUCAAUUGUGUUAGUGAUUAAACCAAGAAAGAAUUGUCUAAAUCUAUAAAAUGUUUAAAGACUUUAGUCACUUAAUAACAAGACAUUAACUUAGUGAAGAUUGAAACAAAUAAAGCUUGAAAUGUUUUAAAGCUACUACACAAUGUCUUCUUCCAAUAUACUCCACUUUCAUACAUUUUGAAUAUAUGAAGUGAUUUCUCAUUAAAGUCAUGAGAAAUAGUGGGAGGUGUGGAAAUGGAUAUAAACUUGAAUAUGAUUGGUUUAUAGUUGUCUAGAGAAUAAUAGUAUUUGACUAUUAUUAAGAGUUUGCAAUUUUAAUUGUUAAAAGACUCAAGCUCUUCAAAACGUUAAAAUUCUAUGUUGUGUGACAUUCUAAAGAAUAGUCUUUGAAUGUUGGUUUCGUCAACCUAGCAUAAAAUGGUUAUAUGUUGGGAGUUGUCCAUAAUUCUCUUUUAUGAGAACAAGCUAAAUAACCAAGCAUAUGGACAAGUUGAUGAAACAAAAGGGAAUAAGUUUCAAACUGAGUCACAACAUAUGGUUUAACAACAAGACAAACCAAAUUCAACAUCUCAUGUAACAAUAUUGCUCUAUGUAGUUUUAAUAAAGAAUUAUAUCAACCACCUAGAUGGAAUGGUUGAGUUUCUGUAUCCUUAGUAGGAGCCAUGCUUCCACUAAAGACUUGGAUAAUUCUUAUAUGACUACAUUAAAGGUCUUAGUAUGACUAAAACUUGAAGUAUGGUGUAUGACACCAUAUAACUUAAAUGAAUAGACUUAAUGGAACAAGUCACACAUUUCAAAUGGAAUUACUUGAGAAGGAAUUCUUUUGUGUGUGAUUCAUUUAAGUUAGUGGGAGCAAUAUGCAUUCAAAUCAAGAAAAUAUAAUUGUUAUUUUUGAAUGAAUUCUAAGUUACAACAAGGCCAGUGGGAGUGAUGUCAUAAUUUGAGCAACAAGAUGUGAAUAAAGUCUAUUAGAUAGACUUGAUAAAACAUAGAUGUUGCUCGAGAAAUGACAAAACAUGACACGGUCAAUUUUGAAGUAUAAACUUGAAAUUGGACUUAUUGAUAUAGCAAGGCUACUCAAUAAUGUUAUAUGGGAAUUAAAUCUCAAAUGUUGUAGAUUUAAGAAAGCAUUUUCCUAUGUAAUAGGAAAUUACUUUCAUAACCCUUAUAAUGAAUGUGUCAUAAAAUCACAAAAGGGACACAUGUAUUGACUUGUGAAGUAGAUAUCCAAAAGUGAAGAACCACAGAGGUUGUUAGUUUAAGAUAUUACUAUAUCCCAGGAUCAGAACCAAAGCAACUGAAAGAGUAUUAUUGCCUUUAAGAAAGAAACAUCAAAGUGGGACUCUGGAAGCGUGCAUUCACUUAGGUUGUUAACCAAAGUGAAAAUAAGCCAUUUUAACAAAUGGAACUUCAUAAUGGAUGAAGUACUAAUCAUAUGAAUGAUUGUUAGUAUUGUACUACAAUGGUCUCAAGGUUGGAGCAAAGUUUGUAUAAAGUAUACAAACGAAAUAUAUGUCGAUAUAUAGUUUUAGAAACUGCUUCAAAAGGUGUUUUGAAUGGAAGGGGUUCUUUUAGAACCAAUGAUUGAAUCCAAACCAUAAGGUCGUUAGUAGGAUACUACGACGUAAUGGGGCGAUAACUCAAGCCAUGGAUGAAGGAAAAUCUAUGAGAUUCAUGUAUGCGAUUUCUUAAUGACUAUCAUGCAUAUACAAAUCAAAUUUAAUAUACGAAAGCAGCGGAAGCAUUUAUAACAUAUUAUCAAAGCUAUAGUCAUGCAAAUCCCCUUCAAGGUUCAUAGGUUUAUAUAUAAUGCAUCAAAUAAAAUUUUUAGAGAAAAGAACAAAGUGAAGGUUUAGUCUUAUACCUCUUGAUCUAGACUUGAGACCAAGGAUGGACCACCUCCAAGCCCUUUGUUCCUUGAACUCCUUGAGCCUAGCUUCCCUCCUUGCCUUCUCCACUUUGAUAGAAUGAGUGCUCCUAGGUUCUCUUCAAGUUUCCAAAGUAGGAAAUCUCUAAAGAUCCUCACCCACUAGUGUAGUGAGAAGGAUGAAGGAAUAACCAAAAGGAUGAAAGAUUGUUAGCUAAAACACCCUCUAGGUGGCCGGCCUUUGUGGUCUUAGAGAGCUAUCUUUCUUUUGCCUCUUUGUUGUUCAAAAACACACAAAAACCCUAAUGAACAAUAUCUCUAUAAAGUUCCUUAUAUAGACAAAAGAAACCUAGCCAACAACUUGACUAAAUAUCUCACCCUUUCCACACCUAAAAUGGCCGGCCCUCUUUGUGUUGUUUGGGCUUUGGGCUUUCAUUUAUAUCAAGUCAUCCAAUGCUUGAAUAAAAGCCCAAUGGGUUUAGGCCCAAUGGGCCCAAUUAAACCCGAACGUUUCUUUAAGCCCAAAAUGAUCUUUAUCGCUUUUAUGAUUUCUUUAGACUUUCUAAAUUAAUCACAACACUUAAUUAAUCCAAUUAAUUGUUUCCAUCAUCCAUUAAUUACUCACUACAAUAGUGUAUUGGUGAACAAUCUUUUAGGUUCUAAUUAGCAAGGCAGUGAGGUGAUUGGCAUUAAUCCAAUUGAUUAUAUUUAAUUCAAUCACUUAGUGAAUCAAAACUUCAUUUUAAUUCACCUUUCUUCUUUGACGACUACAUUUAAUCAUCUAGAAGAACUCACAAGCUAUAAGUGACAUCUAACCAUAUGUCAUAGCUACCCAAGCUAAUGUAGAAGUUUAUUCGGAGAACCUAUUCAGUUGGAAUUAAAAUGUAAUUCGAUCCUUCUCUAAAACAAUACUCUCAAUCACAUCAUUAGGGUAUGGAUAUAUUAUGUCAAACCCCUAAUGUGAUUAUUCCUUCUUAUAUGAUUCAAUUGAGUCGUAUAGGAACGCUUUCCUUUAUUACGCUCGAUACUUCGGCCGAAGAUUCCCGAAUCAUAUCUUAGAGUAUUCUUCCUCUCUUAUCGAGGAUUAAAGAUUCCUUGUUGCGCAUACACUUGCCUUCAUGACUAAGUGGCUUAACCCCAACUAUGCCGUUGACAUUCUAAUAGAGUGACUUUUGACAUAAUCAAAGAUCAAGUACUUAACCACAAGACAACAAUGAUGCCUCAGGUCAAAGGACUACUUACAUUAUUCCAACCAUUAGAGUUACUUGCUUGACAUGUGAGUAGACCUCCAUGCAAGUACUCUCGUUCGAUUGUGUUCAGUGAACUCAUUCCCUUAAUGAGCACCUACAUACUUGUCUUAGUGUCACAACACGAAUGGGAUGAGACUUUCCAUCCUUCCAAUUGAAGCGGACACAGUAUGUACUGGUUUACGCAUUGUCAGUAUCCCUCCGACAAUCCAAUGACCAGGAACCUUUUUGGACAUUUGGUUAUGUGAAGAAGGUCCCUGUAGUCUAACAUCAUUAGAUUACUUCUUCAAUCGAUCCAUUGUCCAUGGAUACACUAUUUAGGACAUAUAUCGUUUAUUAAGAUAGUCCUAAUUAGUAUCUUCGCCAUUUGAUGUAUAAGAGUCAUCCAUACAUCGAUUCAAUUAUCCUGAAUGGUUUCUUCCAAAGAUUGACUUUCAGGGCAUAUUUCCAACAAUGGAAUCAAGGUCUCAUCAAAGUAUUCGAACACAAUAAAGAGACAUCAUCAAAUGUUUUGGAAACAUUUGAUAAGAAAAUCCCUUUUAAAUAAUAAAAGGGAUUAAUACAUAACCAAGUUAACCUACGAGCAUAAGCUCUCUUAACAAGAUGUAUAAGAUACACUAGUGAUUGACUUUAGUGCAAGUGGGAGAUUCUUGGAAAUAUGCCCUGAAAGUCAAUCUUUGGAAGAAACCUUUCAGGACAAAUGAAUCGAUGUAUGGAUGACUCUUAUACAUCAAAUGGCAAAGACACGAAUUAGGACUAUCUCAAUAAACGAUAUAUGUCCUAAAUAGUGUAUCCAUGGACAAUGGAUCGAUUGAAGAAGUAAUCUAAUGAUGUUAGACUACAGAUACCUUCUUCACAUAGCCAUUAUGUCCAAAAGGUUCAUAGUCAUUGGAUUGUUGGAGGGAAACUGACAAUGCUUAGACCGGUACAUACUGUGUCCGCUUCAAAUGGAAGGAUGGAAAGUCUCAUCCCAUUCGUGUUGUGACACUAAGACAAGUAUGUAGGUGCUCAUUAAGAGAAUGAGUUCACUGAACACAAUCGAACGAGAGUACUUGCAUGGAGGUCUACUCACAUGUCAAGCAAGUAAAUCUAAUGGUUGGAAUAAUGUAAGUAGUCCUUUGACCUGAGGCAUCGUCGUUGCCUUGUGGCUAAGUACUUAAUCUUUGAUUAUGUCAAAGUCACCCCAUUCGCGGAUGUCCACGGCAUAAUUGGGGUUAAGCCACUUAGUCAUGAAGGCAAGUGAAUGCGCAACAAGGAAUCUCAAAUCCUCGAUUAGAGAGGAAGAAUACUCUAAGAUAUGAUUCGGGAAUCUUCGGCCGAAGUAUCGAGCGUAAUAAAGGAAAGCGUUCCUAUACGACUCAAUAGAAUCAUAUAAGAAGGAAUAAUCACAUAAGGGGUUUGGCAUAAUAUAUCCAUACCCUAGUAAUGUGAUUGAGAGUAUUGUUUUAGAGAAGGAUCGAAUUACAUUGUAAUUCCACCUGAAUAGGUUCUCCGAACAACUUCUACAUUGGCUUGGGUAGCUAUGACAUAUGGUUAGAUGUCACUCAUAGCUUGUGAGUUCUUCUAGAUGAUUAAAUGUAGUCAUCAAAGAAGAAAGGUGAAUUAAAAUGAAGUUUUAAUUCACUAAGUGAUUGGAUUAAAUAUAAUCAAUUGGAUUGAUGUCAAUCACCUCACUGCCUUGCUAAUUAGAACCUAAAAUGAUUGUACACCGAUACACUCCUGUAGUGAGUAAUUAAUGGAUGAUGGAAAUAAUUAAUUGGAUUAAUUAAGUGUUGUGAUUAAUUUAGAAAGUCUAAAGAAAUCAUAAAAGCGAUAAAAGAUCGUUUUGGGCUUAAAGAAACGUUCGGGUUUAAUUGGGCCCAUUGGGCCUAAACCCAUUGGGCCUAAACCUUAUUCAAGCAUAGGAUGACUUGAAAUAAUAAAAGCCCAAAGCCCAAAGCCCAAACCAAACACUAAAGGGCCGGCCACUUAAAGGCUUUGGGAGAGAUAUUUAGUCAAGUUGUUGACUAGGUUUCUUUUUGUCUAUAUAAGGAACUUUAUAGCACAAAGUUCAUUAGAGUUUUUGUGUGUUUUUGAACAACAAAGAGGCAAAAGAAAAUAGCUCUCUAAAACCACAAAGGCCGGCCACCUAGAGGGUGAAUUUACUAACAAUCUUUCACCCUUUUGGUUAUUCCUCCAUCCAUCUCACUACACUAAUGGGUGUGGAUCUUUAGAGAUCUUCUCCUUUGGAGACUAAAGGAGAACCUUGGAGCACUCUUACUAACAAAGUGGAGGAGGCAAGGAGGGAGGCUAGGCUCAAGGACUUCAAGGAACAAAGGGCUUGGAGGUGGUCCAUCCUUGGUCUCAAGUCUAGAUCAAGAGGUAUAAGACUAAACUUUCACUUUGUUCUUUACUAAAAUGUUUUGAUGCAUUAUAUAUAAACCUAUGAACCUUGAAGGGGAUUUGCAUGACUAUAGCUUUGAUAUUAUUUGAUAAAUUACCUCCGUUGCUCAUGUAUAUAAAUUUUGAAUUGUAUAUGCAUGCUAGUCAUUUGGAAAUCCCAUGUGUUAAACUCAUAAUUUUCCCUUCAAUUUUAUGUCAACCUCCAAUGUUGCUUAGCAUUUCAUAGCUUCGAACGUCGUCUUUUUUUGCUAGACCAUUGAGUUUUUCUUCCUUUAGCAUUGUCUUUCUCUUUCUAGAAGGCUUUUUAGUUUCUUCGAGUCUUUCCAAGGCUGACCGUCAUGGAGGAGAGCUAGCCAUGUUGCUUUGUUUCUUAGGUUUUGACAACCUUUAAAAAACAGAGCUUUGGGGUGUUGGCGUGUUAAGCCUUUUGAAGACAGAGGUUUGGUCUUGACCACCAAUGCAAUCAAGUGCUGACAUUCUGGGUUUUGAACGGUUUAGCCUAUCAAAGACUGACAUUCGAGGGGUAGGUUUAUGCUCCUCUUGAUUUUGUUCAACGCUUAUGCUGAUGUGUUGAGCGCUAGCGUUUUUUGCUUUUCUUGAAAUCUUUACAAGCUUAUUUGGUGUGAAGCCAAGUCCAUCUUUGUUAUUGUCAACUCCGUAACCAUGCUCCUUCAACUUCUUUUGAGUCUCGGUGAUGUCACGUUCUUUGUUGUUGACGGUGUCUGAAACCUUAUUUCCAAGAUUUGAAGGGGAGGCAAAAUUGUACCCAGCCUUUGACAUGAGUUUAUAGCCAUUUGGGUCGAAGCCUUCUUCAGUCCUCUUGGUUGGAAGAUAGCUUGGUUUUGCCUCAUUUGGCAAGGGUUUUAUGAAACCUUGUGGUGGUUUUGAAACCUUAGCAUCACCUAGCUAUGUCAGAGGUAAAACGACAUUUGUCUUGAGCAACAUUACAUCAUCCAUGAGCAGCUGUGUGUUAGCUUUGCUUGUUCUAGUUUCGAACAGGGAUUGCCCAUUCUUUCUUCUCAACAUGGUGAUGUAUCAGAAGACGGGUGUGUUUGAUCCUUUUGAGGGUGUCACACUCUCUUUGUUUGUUAUGGGUUUGGCAGGCUCAUCAUUGUUUUUGUUUGAAGAUGGCACAGCUUCCCCUUCUUGCUUCUUAGGCAUAGCUUGCGAGAUCCAUUUAUACUACAAUAACCUUGUGAUUCUUGCAAGUAAAAUAGGAGAUUUAAGCCCGUUCACAUGAGUAGUAAAAAUCCUAUCAAGAAAAUGGCGCCGUUGCCGUGAAGGAAAAAUUUUGUCCUAGCUAAGAACAAGUAUGAACAUUUGAAUACACAUGCAAGCUAUUAACACUUUAAAGUAGGCAUGCAUCCAAAAACAAUUCAUAAAACCCAUGACUUUCAAAGCCUAGUAUAUGGUGAACCAAAAUAAACUCUUUAACAACAUUAAAGAGAAAGAAGAAUUUAGUGAUUCUUUACCCUUGAAGCUCAUCCUUGAUUACACAAGGGAUUCACCCAAGUGGAGGGCCUUCAAGUCACCUCCAAGCUCCUUGAAUCCUCCUUGUGUUUUCCUCCCUUUAGUGCUCCUUUGGAGAUUUGAGGAAAUAAGGAUUUGUUCUCCAAAACACCAAAAGCUUGAUGUCUCUAAGUCUCUUCACCAAGGUUGUAUCUUGUGAAGAUGAAAUGGAUUACUAAGGGAAGAAGAGAUUGCUAGAUGUCCCCUCCCUUAGUGGCCGACCUCCUUAGAAGAAAAUGGAGAAAAUUUUUUACCCAAUUUCAACAAGAAGAACCCCUUAUGAGAAAAUUGCUAUAAAGUUGCUUUUAUAACAUUUUCUUUGGUGAGUGGCAAACUUGUAAUUAAGCAAGCUUGCCCAUUCACCCUAAUGGCCGGCCUCUCCUUGUUAUUGGGCUAAUUUGCCCAUUUUGUUUUUGUUGUCAUACAACUUAAACAUAAUGGGCCUUUUGGACCAAAACGCUUUUGGGUCCCGAAACCCAAAACCAACAUAUAAGCCCAAUACGAACCUUUCGUAAAAUUAAUUAACUAAUUAAUUAAUCUUGACCAUUCUUCAAUUAAACCAUUUAAUUGCUUAUCCAUUUCAUAUAAUUUCUUCACAUACAUCCUUACUCAGUGUACGAUCCAUUAGGUUCCAAUUAGCGAGGUAGUGGGCGAUGCUACUCUUAACUAUCGAUUGUGAAUUGAAACCACAUUUCAAUUCUCCCUUUAAUGAUUAGUGUUACCUAAUCAUUUGGGCUUCCACAAACCAUGAGUGACACCUAGCAGUAUGUCAUGGUUACCCAAGCUAAGUAGAAUUGAUUGGAGAACCUAUCCAGUUACAACUACAAUGCAAUACGGUCCUUCUCUAAUACAAUACUCUUAAUCACAUUGUUUAAGUGAUAGUUUGUUUCAUGUCUACUAUCCAAUGUGAUACUUUCCUAUAUGAUUCCCUUGAAUAUGAUUUGGAACAAACUUCCUAAGUCAUAUUCAUUUGCUUUGGCCAAAGACUUUAGAAUCAUAUCUUAGUAUUCUCCCUCCACCAUGGAAGGUUAGAGAUCCCUUGUUGUGCACUCAUAUGCCUACAUGACUAGAUAGCUUGACCCCAACAAUGCCAUGGACACUCCAAAGGAAUGCCGUUGACAUGAUCAAAGAUCAAGGACCUAACCAUUAGACAUCUAUGAUGCCUCAGGUCCAAGGACUACUUUGCAUGUUGCAACCUUAGAGUUCAUACAUGACAUGUAUGUUCGAACUCUCUUUUGAUCGUAGUUCAGUGAACUCGAGUACUCUUUUGAGCACCUAUGUGUUUGUCUUAGUGUCCAACACCAAAUGACUUGAGACUAGUUAUACUCACGAUUGAGUCAACAUAACACAUACUAGCCUUAGCGGAUUGUCAAUGCCCAAUUAGCAAUCCUAUGGCUAGGAACGUUUUAGGAAUGAAUCUAAGUGAAAGGUCUCGAUAAUCUAACUCAUUAGAUCACUUAUCUCUUAGAACAAAUACAUUCCUUGGAUUCCUUUAUUGCAUAAACACAUGAUACAAUAAAUAGUGAUUAACAAUAAGAUUUGCCCUCCAUUAAACAUAUAAAAGUUUAACAGAACAAGUAUUCCAAAAAGCUAUUACAUCAAAUGAGUGGCUUUGUGGGCAUACUUCCAACAUGCCGGGGAUUAUUUAAAAUAAUCCCUACUAAUCAGAUUUUCAAUUAGUUAUUGCUGUUCAUACAAAUAAAAAAAAAUUAAUUUUUGUUUUUAUUUUAUUUUUACAGAUUACAACAGUACAACAAUGCAGAUUUCAGAAAUCUGUGCAUGGUCAGCACCCAUUCAACAGUGCAGAAAUUGAUUCCACUUGAUCCAGAACUUGAGCUAAAUUUAAGGAGGAAACGCUGGGAGCAAACUUUGCAGAAGGUUCGUCCUCUGCAGGAGACAUUUUUGCAAUCAGUCUUUUCUGGGGACCUGUACAACAAAGAAAAAAUGGCAUUUGUAAUUCCAGAGGCAGGUCUGCCCCUAGGUGAUUCACUGACUGCCCAUACCACAAAUAUACCAAGUUGCAUUACUUAUCCGACAGUGGAGGAAGGGACUGCAUUUGAAAUAAAGCAGCACAUGUUGAAUAUUCUACCUACAUUUCAUAGGUUAUCAUCUGAUGAUCCUAACAUGCACAUUGCAGAAUUUUUAAUGGGGUGCAAAAACAUUUUGGUGAGGGGAUUUUCAGCUGAAUCUAUUAAGCUGCAAUUAUUUCCAUACACAAUAAAAGAUCAAGCAAGGAGAUGGCUCCUCACACUCCCAUCUGGAAGCAUUAGUACUUGGGCCCAACUCGGUGAAAAUUUUUUAAACAAGUAUUAUCCGGCUUCUAAGACUCUUGACAUGAGAACUCAGAUUUUAUCUUUUGCCCAAAACCAAAUGAGGAGUUUCAUGAGGGAUGGGAGCGGUUCAAAGAGUUGAUUAGAAAAUGUCCGCAUUCGGGUAUUAACACUACUGAUCAAAUGCAUAUAUUUUUUAGAGGGUUGAAUAUGACUACAAAAACACUUGUCAACACUUCAUGCGGAGGUUCGUACAAAGACAAAAAUGUACAAGAGGCUUGUUUGUUAUUUGAAAAAAUGGCAGCAGAUACACAGCAGUGGGCAGUUGAGCAGCCACAAUCUAGGUCUAUUUUUGAGAUGUCUAACGGUUCUCCGUAUGUUAUAGCAUAAAUUGAAAAAAUGGAGAAAAGGCUUGACGCAAAAUUUGACAUGUUAUUACAGAGAAUACCAGGUUCACAGGUUGCUGUACAGCAGCCCUUACAAGCUGUCUGCAGCAUUUGCAACAUGAUAGCUCACGAUUUUAUGAGCUGCCCACAUAAAGAUGUUUCUCCAGAUUUUACAGCAGAGCAAGUUAAUGCAUUUAACAAUUUCCAGCGCCCCCGAUAUGAUCCGUAUUCUAAUUUCUACAACCCAGGUUGGAGAGAUCAUCCUAAUCUAAGGUCGGACAAGGAACAGCACACUAGGCCUCAAUUCCAACAGCAGGUACAGCAACCUGCUGCACCUAAGGCUGCUUGGGAGGUUGCAAUUGAAAAAUUGGCAAAUAGUACCACUCAAGAAAUUCAAAAUCUACAGGCAACAGUGAAAAACAUGGAAAACAGAUGGGGCAGAUUGCUUUGCAGGUUUCUGGAAGGGCACCGGGUACAUUUCCCAGUCAAACCGAACCAAAUCCUAAGGGAGGUGCCGAUUGCAAGGCAGUUAGAGUUCUACGUUCCGGCAAAAGUUUUGAUAACAGGGAUGAAAAUUGCGAUCAAAAUUCGCGGGUGGCUUCGCAGCCAAAAACAGAUUCGGGGAAUGUUGAAAAAUCUACCAAUUCGAAAGAUUCUGAACAGUCCUUGAACAGUUCCGAAAAUGGUGCAAAUAUUGUUACGGAUCGCGUGUAUGAGCCACCUAUGCCUUAUCCCGAAAGAUUGAAGCCUAAAGUUAAAGAUCAACAAUUGGCAGAUUUUAUGAAGACUUUGUCUAAGGUUCAGAUUAAUCUGCCGUUAAUUGAUGCCAUCAAGAACAUUCUGUCUUAUGUUAAGUUUUUGAAAGAUGUUUACACAAAGAAAAAGAAGCUUGUUGAUUUUGAGAAAGUGAUUCUUACAGAAUAGUGCAGCGCUGUUCUGCUUCACAAGUUGCCCCUAAAGAAACGAGAUCCAGGGAGUUUUACAAUUUCAUGCACAAUUGGAAAUUCUCAUUUUAAACGUGCUUUAAUUGAUUUAGGUGCUAGUAUUAAUUUAAAGUCUUUUUCUGUUUUUCAGAGACUAGGACAAGGAGAAAUCAAGCCUACAUCAGUUAUUCUACAACUAGCGGACCGUUCAGUUGCUUAUCCAAGGGGUAUUAUUGAAGACCUAAUUAUUAAAGUGGAUAAUCUCUAUCUUCCUGCAGAUUUUGUGAUUUUGGAUAUGGAUGAAGAUAUGCAAACACCGAUUAUUUUGGGAUGUCCCUUCAUGGCAACAGCUAGAACGUUAAUUGAUGUAGAGGCUGGAACACUUACACUUAGAGUGCAAGAUAAAUCUGUUGUGUUCAGUUUGUUUGAAGCUACUAAAAGGCCAGGUGAUGUGCAUGAUUGUAUGCGUAUUGAUGUGCUUGACAGCUUAUUUCAUGCUGAAAUUAUGCCACGUUUGACAUAUGAUCCAUUGUUAAAUGUGUUGCAUGGGUUUGAGAAGAAAAAUACAGAAGAUGAAGAGGUUUUUGAGUAUGUGUUGGCUUUGGAAAGUGUUUCAUUUCAACCCCCACAUUGGAGGCAUGUUUUUGAGAGUUUGGGGGAACCCAAAAAGCUGUUGCAGCCUUCUAAGGUACAGCCACCUAAACUGGAGUUAAAGGUGCUUCCAGAACACUUGAAAUAUGCUUAUUUGGGUGCAGAUUCUUCGCUGCCAGUUAUUAUAGCUGCUGAUUUAUCAUCAACAGAAGAAGAUAAAUUGUUGCGCAUUUUAAGGAGUCAUCAAGAUGCAAUUGGCUGGACUAUAGCUGACAUUAAAGGGAUCAGCCCUACAAUUUGUAUGCACAAAAUUUUGAUGGAAGAUGGAGUAAAGCCUGCCAUUGACGCUCAACAUCGUUUGAAUCCAAUUAUGAAAGAAGUUGUUCGUAAUGAAGUUAUGAAACUUUUAGAUGCUGGGAUGAUUUAUCCCAUUUCAGAUAGUAAGUGGAUUAGUCCAACUCAAGUAGUGCCAAAGCGUUCUGGUAUUACAGUUGUGAGGAAUGAUAAUAAUGAACUUGUACCUACUCGUUUGACUACUGGGUGGCGUAUGUGUGUUGAUUAUAGAAAGAUCAAUGCAGGUACUAGAAAAGAUCAUUUUCCAUUGCCAUUCAUUGAUCAAAUGUUGGAAAGGUUGGCUGGUCGUGCUUUCUAUUGUUUCUUGGAUGGCUAUUCAGGGUAUAACCAGAUUCCAGUUGCCCCUGAGGAUCAAGAAAAGACAACCUUUACUUGUCCUUUUGGGACUUUUGCAUAUAGAAGAAUGCCUUUUGGUUUGUGCAAUGCGUCUGCCACAUUUCAGCGUUGCAUGAUGAGCAUAUUUACCGGGUUAGUUGAACAUAUAGUUGAGGUAUUUAUGGAUGACUUUUUCUGUUUUUGGGGAUUCUUUUGACCAAUGUUUGCAGAAUUUAUCUCUAGUUCUUGAAAGGUGCAUUAAGACCAACCUGGUUUUAAAUUGGGAAAAGUGUCAUUUCAUGGUUAAGCAGGGAAUUGUCCUAGGCCACUUGAUUUCUAACAGGGGUAUUGAAGUUGAUAAGGCUAAAAUUGAUGCAAUUGAAAAGUUGCCACCCCCAACAAUUGUUAAGAGUGUUCGAUCUUUUCUUGGUCAUGCCGGGUUUUAUAGACGGUUCAUCAAAGAUUUCUCCAAGAUUAGCCGACCAUUGUGUAAUUUAUUGGCUAAGGAUGCACCUUUUGUUUUUGAUGAGGCUUGUUUGGAGGCCUUCAAGAACUUAAAGACACUCCUCACUACAGCACCCAUUAUUGCAGCGCCUAAUUGGAGCCUACCUUUUGAAUUGAUGUGUGACGCAUCAGAUUAUGCAGUGGGAGCAGUUCUUGGACAGCGGAAAGAUAGACUUCCCCAAGUUAUUUAUUAUGCUAGUCGAACCCUCAAUGAUGCACAACUCAACUAUGCUACCAUAGAGAAUGAAUUGUUGGCAAUUGUUUUUGCAUUGGAAAAAUUUCGUUCGUAUUUAGUUGGGGCUAAAGUGAUUGUUUAUACAGAUCAUGCAGCUUUGAAAUAUUUGUUGUCUAAAAAAGAGGCUAAGCCUCGAUUGAUACGUUGGAUUCUUUUAUUGCAAGAGUUUGACUUAGAAAUCAAAAAUAAAAAAGGUAGUGAAAAUGUGGUGGCUGACCAUUUAUCUAGAUUAAUUAUUCCCACAGCUUCAGAAGAGGAUUCCCUACCACUGAGGGAAAGUUUUCCAGAUGAACAAUUAUUUGCAGUCCAAUUCCGUACACCAUGGUUCGCUGAUAUUGUUAAUUAUUUGGUUAAAGGUGUAGUGCAUCCAGAAUUAACAUUGCAGCAGAAAAAGAAGUUUUUAUCUGAUGUCAAGGAUUAUUUCUGGGAUGAACCAUACCUAUUUAAGUAUUGCCCAGACCAGAUUAUUCGCAGGUGUAUUCCUGAAGCCGAACAGGAAAGUGUUUUAAAGUUUGCUCAUCAUUUUGCUUGCGGGGGAUAUUUUGGAUAGAAAAGGACAGCAGAGAAGAUUUUGCAAAGUGGGUUAUUUUGGCCUACACUUUUUAAAGAGGCACAUAAUUGGUGCAAGGCUUGUGAUAGGUGUCAAAGAGUCGGCAACUAGUCCAAAAGGAAUGAGAUGCCCCAGCAAAGUAUUUUGAUUGUUGAAUUAUUUAACGUUUGGGGUAUUGAUUUCAUGGGACCAUUUCCAUCUUCCCAUGGGAACCAAUAUAGUUUAGUUGCUGUGGAGUAUGUUUCUAAGUGGGUCGAGGCCAUUGCAGCACCAACUAAUUAGGGAUUAGUGGUCCUGAAGUUCCUCCAAGGGGUUAUAUUUCCGCGUUUUGGAAUUCAACGCGUUAUUCUUACUGAUGGGGGGAAGCACUUUAUUAAUAAACCAUUUGCUAAUUUGUUGGCAAAAUAUGGGAUUAAUCAUCGUGUGGCUACACCUUAUCAUCCACAGACAUCUGGGCAAGUGGAAGUUUCAAACAGAGAAUUAAAACGCAUUUUGGAGAAAACAGUUGGUUCAACACGUAAAGAUUGGAGUUUAAAAUUAAAUGAUGCAUUGUGGGCCUACAGGACAACUUAAAAAACUCCUAUUGGGAUGUCACCAUUUCGACUCGUUUAUGGGAAAGCAUGUCAUCUACCUAUGGAGCUUGAGCAUAAGGCUUAUUGGGCAAUUAAAGAGUUAAAUUUUUCGUAUGACUCAGCUGGGGAACAACGUAAAUUGCAGCUCAAUGAGCUGGACGAAAUUCGUCAGGCUGCUUAUGAAAGUUCUCGCAUCUACAAGGAAAGAACUAAAGCGUUUCUUGAUAGUCAAAUUUUACGGAAAGAAUUUCAGCCAGGGCAAAAGGUUAUGCUAUUCAGUUCAAGGCUAAAGUUGUUUCUAGGGAAAUUGCAAUCUCGUUGGACUGGGCCAUAUCUAGUUACAAAAGUAUUUUCUCAUGGGGCAGUUGAAAUAACUAAUGAGGCCCAAGGCAACGCAUUCAAGGUGAACGGUCAGGCUGAAACCAUACGUGGAGUCACCUUUUGAUACUGCAUACGAGUCUUUGACUCUGAAGGAACCAGUGAUCUAGCCACCGGACUUCCGCAACGUCUAGCUACAGACUUAAAAUAAAGCGCUAAUUGGGAGGCAACCCAAUUUUUCUAAACUCUUUCCUAAUUUUAAAUUUCGUUUGAUUUUCUCUUUAAUAAAAAAAUAAAUUAAAAAAAAAACAUACAUAAAAAAAAAGAAAAAAAAAACGAAAAAUUCAAAAAAUGGAAGAUUGCAGGUUGAUUUUAUUUACCCAGUUUAUUUGAUUUUAUUUUAAUUUUUUAACGCAUAUUGGUUAAUUGCAGGUUGCGACCGUGGAAAAUAAAGCGCAUCCUAUGCUGGAAUCCUGCACCCAGCAGCAAGUCUAACGUUCACAUCAACCACAUCUACACUAUGCUGGAAAUUUAAAGCACUCAACAUAACAAGUCAUUCAUAGAUGCAAGUUUGGGGGAGAUUGUUGCAGAUCCAGCACAGAGACAAAAUUUUGACCAGUUAAUUUUCUGCAGCUCAGUUUUGCGAUGCAUGGAGGAGAACCACAGUUAAAUCACAAAUCCAUACACCACAAAACUGAGUACAACUUUUAUUACCAGAUCUACAACAAUUCAACUUGCAAGGAUAUGAAAUUUUACGUCCCAGAUUCACCGAUCUGGGCUCUUGGAAGCUUGUGCCGUUUUUGUCUAUUGAAGCUGAUGUUUGUCCGUCCACUUUAUUUCCCACGGAUCUAUUAGUGAUCCACAUUUCCUGAACAUUUCACAACAGAAAGACUAAUGACACUUUGAUUUUCAUGAUCCAGGUUAUGUAUCACUUAUAACACACAAGCUUGUGGAAGUCAUAUUUUCUGAAGGUCUUAUUCAUGUUGUUAUUUGUUCAUCAAAUCUGGGGUCCUUUACGUUUUAGGGUCCAUACUUUUCGUGGUCAUUUAGUCUUCGUUAAGUCUCCCGCAUUUCAAGUUCACUUUCAUCAUAUUGUUGGAAAUGUGCCCUAAAGCCAAUCAUGUGAUGAUACUUUACGAACAUUUCACAUGUUAAACUAAUCUAGUUUUACAUAUAAAGGGCAAAGAUUAUUGUUUGAGCCGUCUCAUAUAAAUGUUAUAUGCUUAAACGAUAAAGUCCAAGGAAUAUGUGAUUGGGAGAAUGUAAUCUAAUGAAGUUAGAUUCAUGAGACCAUUCUUUCGUAGACACAUCCUAAACGUUCCUGAUCAUAGGAUUGCCAAUUGGGCGUUGACAGUCCAUUAAGAUCAGUACGUACUAUGUCUUCUCUCAGGGAGAGUGAUUAGUCUCGAAUCAUUGGUGUGUGUGACAUCAAGACAAGUACGGUAGGUGCUCAAUAGAGAAUGAGUUCACUGAACGCGAUCAACGAAGAGUUCUCAUAUUCCAUGUCACAUGAGAACUCAUGGUUGGGAUAAUGCAAAGUAGUCCUUUGACCUGAGGCAUCAUAGUUGUCUUGUGGUUAAGUCCUUGAUCUUUGAUUAUGUCAAAGUCACUCCAUCAUGAGGGUGUCCACGGCAUCGUUGGGGUCAAGCCACUUAGCUAUGGAGACAAGUGAAUGCGCAACAAGGGAUCUCUAACCUUCAAACCGUUUGAGGGAGAAUACUCUCUGAUAUGAUUUGAAUCUCUGGCUAGAGUAUGAAUGAGAUUAGGGAAUGCGUUCCGAAUCACAUUCAAGGAAAUCAUAUAAGCACAAGACACACAUUGGAUAGUAGACAUGAGAAAAUAAACUAUCAAACCAAACAAUGUGGUCAAGAGUAUUAGAUUAGAGAAAGACCGUAUUGCAUUUGUAAUCUCGAACUGAAUAGGUUCUCCACCUCUUCUGAUUAGCUUGGGUAACCAUGAUAUGCUGCUAGGUGUCACUCAUGGUUUGUGGAAGCCCUAAACGUGUGUAAUCACUAAAGGGAGAAUUGAAAAUAGUUUCAAUUCACAAUCGAUGUAAAAUGGUUUUAAUCGCCCACUACCUCGCUAAAAGGAACCUAAUGGAUCGCACACCAUAAAAGGUAGAGAUUGGAGAUUAAACGGAAAUGAGUAAGAAUGAUUAAAUGGUUUAAUCAUUUAUUUAUGGCAAGGAUUAAUUAAUAUGUUAAUUAAUCAAACGAAUAAGUUCGUUAAAGACUUCGGGAUAGUUUUGGACCUUAAGGCCCAAUGGGCUUCGAACGUCAAGCCCAUUAACUUAAGUUGUAUGACAAUUUAAUGAAUAAAGAUUCAUUAAAGCCCAAAAGCCCAAAUCCCUAGGUGGCCGGCCAUGAAGAUGAAUUAGGGUUUUGGUUGUUUUUAGGUCACUUAAAGAAGUGACUAUAUAAAUGACUUUAUAGCCAAAUAUUCAUUAAGGAUUAAAAGGGUUAAUUUUUGGGGAAAAUUGGUGAGAAUUGUCUCUCCAUUUUCUCUCUAAAGAGGCCAACACCUUGGAGGGUACAUCUAGCAAUCCUACUACUCCAAGGUCACUCAUUUCUUCUACAAUCUAACCUUGGUGAAGAGACUUAGAGGUUCUCAAUUUUGGGAACUUGGAGAACCUAUUCUUCCAUCCAAAUCCAUGGAUCUAAGAAGCAAGGAAUGAAGGCCCUAUCUCUUUGGGUGAUUAGCCUUUGCUUAUGCAAAGAGGAAUCUACAAAGGUAUUAAUUUCAACUCACUUUGUUUUGAGUUGAAUAUUGGUUCACCAAUCUACUAGGCUUUGAAUUUCAUGGUAAUGUUUUGUUUUUUGAGUGCAUACAAGCAUGAUUCCGCCUUUAAUUGUUAAUUGCAUGCUAUAUGAUGUUGCUCAAAUGAACAUGUUUUCCCAAAAGAUUUCCUUCAAGUGGUAUCAGAGCCUAGGUCUAGUAGUUGGUGAAUCCUUUUGGGGUUUUGUAGUUCAUAAGUUUGUGAUUUAAAAGUUGUAAUUGUUACAAGCUUUAUUCUUGCUUCUUUGAAAGUAAAUUUUGUUGGAAAAUUUGCUAUCUCAAAUGUUGUAGAUGUUGUUCAUAUGAGCAUGAAUAUUGGAGCUAAAAUUUGGUGCCAUGCUUUUGGGAAAAUUCGGCCAAAACCAAAGGGUGGUUUUUUGGGUUCUUGUUUGACUUGUUAAAAGUGUUUUAAUGUGUUCUUUGGAACCCCUAAGUACCCUAGUUUGGUUAGAUGUUAUUUCCCUUAAGUAAGAAUGGUUUUGGAAUGUUUUUGGGUGAAAAGGUUCGUGGAAAAAUUUAGGUUUUUCAUGGAUGUUCUUCAUUGUUCUUGAUGUUCUUGCCAAGAACAAAAAGGUUUGGUGUUUUGAUUCAAAGUUUUGAUUUAUUUCAUAAAGUUUAUGUGAUUUGUUUUUAAAUGAUUUAUCAUGUAUUUAAAGUGUUAAAUAUUUGUAUAAAUGAUGAUUGAAAUAAUUGUGAUUGAAUUAUUUUCAAAACUUAUCCUUUCACAUACACUUGCAUGAUUAAUUUUGACAAAACUCACAAAUCAACACACACAUCACUCUUAUCCUCUCCCCAAAACCGGCCACUCCCUCAAAGGGAGUACUUUUGGGGCUUUUAUGCAAUUACAUAAAGUUUUGAUACUUUUGUGUAUUUGCACUUUGGCCCAAAAGUUUACGUUUUUACGUUUAGGUCCAAAAACGCUAAAGGACAAAUUGUUUUGUUCCUUUAAUGAAGUUUUUGCAUUAUUAAAAGUUUGGGUUCUAGUUGUAUUUACAUGAAGUUGUGACUUUUGUGUAUUGUACAAAGUGACCCCAAAAGUUUUUGUUAUUUGCAAUAUGGCCCAAAAAGUUGAGGUUAAUUGCAUGAUGGCCCAAAUAGGAUGAGAACAAAAUUGUUUUGUCUCUUUAAAUGAGAAUUGGAUUUUCAUUUUGUUUAGCUCCAUUUAAAUCAAUUUUAUGGAUACAAAAACCAAAUGAAAAUGUUGCAUUCAAUUUAAUUAGUUAAAGUGUUAAUUAAUUAAAGGGUGAUUAUGAACCUAAGCCUAAUAUAAUUGAGCUAUGUGAAAGGCGUUUCAAAUUUGUUUGAACCAUGGGAAUGUGUAGAUUAGAUUUUGGUUGUAAUUUGAUUUGAUCAAAUGUUGUAAAAGGGCUUAAGCUCUUCUUUACUUUAAAGUAAUUUGUUUUAUGCAAAUGUUGUAAUGAGCAUAAGCUCACCUUUACUUUGAAGUACUUCUUUCUUGCUUUAUUUGAUAUGCAUGAAAAUGAAGUAGUUGGGUCCAACGCCCCUAAGACAACACGCCUUAAUGUGAUUAAACGCGUAACUAAAAUCAAUCACCAUCCCUAGACCGAGAUUCAACACAAGGCUCGUGUUGAAUCUAAACAAAGGUUCAUAAUCAUCCUAAGGCCCUAAGGCAACUAUAUAGUCCAUCAAAUGAAUGCAAAGUUUAUGUUAGUAGUAUCAUAUACUCUUGCUUUAAAAACCGUUUUUUAAAAGCAUAGUGGGAGUAUUAUGUACAACUAAAACAAUCAUAUGGACCAAUAGUUGUAAUAGGACCAAAAUUGUUUUAAUAGAGAUUAAAAUGAAUAUUUAUAUGUGAUGAGACCUAAAACCCUCAACCAAACCAAUUAUUAAGUUGAUAAGCGUGAGAGUGCUUUAGAACAUCUCUUCGUGGCCUUCCACCGUGGUAGGGCUCCAAUCGUUUAUGACUUGUACACCGGCUUCACCCUAUCAUGGGGGAGUACAAAGUGCAUGCUUAUACUCAGGAGGAAUCCAUAUACAUAUGAUGAGGUGAGUGUAGGCAACGAGGAUGGCCAACAUCGUAUCAUCGUGAGGCUAUUCUUGAACCCCUACGAACUAAGCAUGGUGGGAAUGACUUAACUAAGUGCAAUGGAGCCAACAUCAUAUCAUUGUGAGGUGACAUUCUCUAGAGGCCAAAUAAGAUGGGUACUUGCAUUAGUUGCAAAUGAGUAAGCGUACUCUCUCAUUAUUAUUGUUGCUAGCCAUACAUCGUAUCAUUCGUGAGGUGGGCUUGGUAAUAGUGAGCCUCCCAUAACCUACUAAGGAGUUUCAUCCAAAACUCUCGAAUUCCAAUGAGGGAUAUGGAAUUUGCCAAAAAUAGUGGGUGGUGCUAUUUUGAUUUAAAGACCCGAAUCAAAUGGCUUAAAAUCAAUCAAUUUAUAUUCGUUAUGUAUUUGUUUACCAAUAUAUUUGCAAACGCUAUCCAACACUUGACAAAUAAAAGCCGAACGUUUAGUUUACCGGACUUGGUACUACAAAACCAUAGAUUGUCUUUAAUGGCUUGUAAAUGUACCUAAGUAGUCUCAUCCUCACAAUCUUCCUAUUGAUAAUGUAUCAUUAGAAGAAUAUGUUAGAAAAGGUCUAUCAUAAAGAGGACAACACUUUUAAUGUCAUAAUUCUUCAAUUACAAAUUGUUGUAUGAAGAAAUAAGGAGUUGCUUUGAACAACCCUUAGUCAAUGCAAACACUUAGUGCUUGUUUCUUUGUUAAAUGAACAAGGAACUUGAGAAGAAAGCACAAAGGCAUGGACACUUAAUGUGCCAUGAUUCUUCACUUACAAAUUGUUGUAUGAAGAAAUGAGAGUUGCCUUGUACAACUCUUGAAAGUUUGUAAUUAUGUUUAGAACAUAAUGGUUGGUUGACAAAAAUAGUCCAUUAACAUGGACUUAUGAUGAUUUUGAAUCAUUGAAGUGUUGAAGUGAUAAAACCACUUAACGAGACGGAAACUAGGCAAGGACUUCACCUUUGUUUCCCUAUCCUAAUGGUUCACUAAGUUUAUUGUAAACUAUGUGUAGUGAACAAUAACCACAUGCUCUCCAAAAUGUUUGAUGUGUAUAACACAAUUGAAAAAGGUUUCAAGAGAGAUAGUGGGAGUUUUAGGGACCAUGACUAUUGUAGUCAAAGGAGAAGUCAAAUGAAAGAAGAUAAAUAAACUCCAAGGGAACAAACUUUCUUUAUGAAAGGAUGGACAUUGGAAGGGGUAUUUGCAAGAAAUGUCUUGCAAGUGUCAAGAACACACCUUUCGAAGGUGUUGUAAAAUUGUUCUUGAAUAGUUCAAAACAGUUGGUUCUUCUACUUGAAUGCUUGAUUCCGUAUUAGUAACUAUGUUUUACAAUCGUUGUAAAAGUGUGACUAAUAAGAAGUAGAAGAUAUAAUGAGAGAAGAGAAAGGUACUUCACAUUCGGAAACGUGAAUCAAAUAUAGAUCUCUGCGAAAGCAGAUGGUACUUACUUCCUCAUAUGAACUACCAAAGAAAUUGGAAAAACAUAGAUUGUCUUUAUAUUCCAAUUUUAAGGAACUAAAUUCCGUCACUAUGUGAAAUGGAUAAAUGUUUUGUUUGACAAAACAAUUGUUCUUUAUUAAUCAAUGAUUGGAUUAUGGUAAUCUAAUUAAUUGUCUCUAUAGUAGAGAUAAUAUGGUAGUGUUAACUGUUUAGAAAAUAAUGAUGCUUAAAACCCAAAAGGUUGCAAGGUAGUGACUAAUCCCAACUAAAGUUGUGAUACCUCUAAAACAUAAAUUACGAGUUGGUCAUAAAUGGAUGCUUUGGAUCGUUAGAUCCGGAUCCAAUACCUUCUUGUUAAAAUUGUAUAGAGGCGAAAUGUUCGAAUCUUUAUUCUUUUGGAAAGAAGAAAGAAUCACAAAGUUGUUGAGGUUAAUUCACUUAGAUGUUAGUGGCACUUGUCCACAAACAUAAUACUACUCAUGUUGAUAUGACAUUCACCGAAGAUCACUCUCGGUUGGACUAUAGUUUAUUUUGAAUAAACACAAGUCCGAAUACUUUGCAAAAUGUUUCAAAGAAUUCAAGAAAUGUAAGUUGAUGAGUAAGACAUCUAAAGUAUUUACCUCCUUAGAUUUGAUCCAAGGAAAGGUAACACUUUAGAUAAGUUUCCUUGAAAGAUAUCAAGGAAAAUAGCAUCAUAAAGAUAAUGUAUUUCUCCAUUAGGAGAAGAACGAACUCGAAUAAGAUUUAGUUCGUUAGAUGUUAUCUAUUACCCAUAUAUAGGAUAUAUACUUCUAAAAACAAUAUGAUUGUCAAUGAGAAGAUCUUCCAAUAUUUUCAUGACUCCAUAAGAUGUAGUUGGAAAGAAAGACAAAUCUUAAGCAUGUUAAAGAUUUGGGGUUGUGUGCUAAUAAGCAAUAUUUGUUUGAUAACAAUCUUGUAGGAUAUCCUUAAAAUUAACUUUUGGAUAUCGCUUCUAUAAACCAACUAACAAAUGUUGUUUUGUUGGGUAGUUCAUUGUAAUUCUACAAUGUGAUUUGCCUAAAAGCAAAUGAACGAGAGAUAGAACUCAAAGAAUGGGUUCUUUGAGAGACAAGAUAAGUAAUCAACAAAUAUAACAACCUAGUUCCUAUACCACAAGCUCCAAGGUAGUCGAUAAGGAUUUAUAAACCGUCUCAGUUGAAUGGUUUUGAACUUUAUGACUACAUUGAGUGCAUAUACGAUAUAUACUCAAGGAAAAUGGUAAAGUACCAUUUGACUCGAAAUAAUGAAACCUUCAUAGCUAAUUGGUAGCUUAAGGUGACUACAAUCAAAGAGAAUGGUUGACUUUGAAGAAACCAUCUUUGACGAUAGUCUUGGUUUCAAUUAAUUCGAAGAUUGCUAGCUACAACUAAAUGGUGAUUCAAUGUUUGGACAUAAUAUGGGUUUCCGAAACCAUUAUUAAGAUAGUCUUGAUAAUAUAUGUCUAAAACUAUAAAUCACAAGACAUGUAAGUUGUAGAGAUCCAUCCAUCAUGGAUCUUAGCAAGUUAGUGGGAGCUAUUUGCAUUUUAUGAGAAAAAAGGAUCAAAUCGUUUGAUUUCUCAUAAAGAUGUAAAUGAAUCUUUUGUUUACUAGUUUUUACAAAAGAUUAGUGGGAGUUAAUCAUGUUCCUAAAAAUUUAAAUAUAUAUGAUAUAUUAAUUUUGGAAAUGAAAAGAAUACUUCUUCGUUAAAGUUAUGACUUUAAUACAUUAUAUGAAGAUAGAAUGUAUAUGGGAGAUAUAGUCUAUAUACAUGGGAUGGAAAUCUAUAAUGAUAUAUUUCAUGAUAUAAUUGGAUUAUAUCAAUCCCUAAUAAUAGACAAUGGAUGCUAGGAAGUUUCUCAUAUGAUGAUAAACUUCAAUAAGAAGGACGAUUCUAGUGAGACUAGCAAGUUGCCCUUCUCAAAGGGAACGUACCCUUUGACUCCCAAAGAAAUAAUGCGUAAAUUGAAUCCUUUAUGCAUACGCAGAAAGGUGAUUUAUGUAUUUCAUAUUGUAUGAAAAACAUUGAUAUGAGUUGUACCUAGAACGGUACAAGACGAUAUCAGUGCAAGCCCAGGAUCAGAACCAUGGCAACUGUCAAGUGAGUCCUUAAGUAUUUAAGAAAUACUAAAGGAUAAAUUCCUCAAAGAAUCGAGGAAGAAUUAAAGUAACGUAAUGGAAGCGUAAAUGUAUUAGAUUAUGAAUCUAAUCCAUCAUUGGAUGUUUCUUCAUUAUGAAUGAAGAGAUAAACGAAUAUCUCUUUAUUAUGACUAAAGAGAUAUUUGGAUGGAAACAUUAAAGUAAUGACUUUAGUGUGUUCCAUUAUGAAUGCAAGAUAUAUUGCCAUAUAGAAGUUUACAACAAUGUUGUUUGGAUGGGAAAGUUCAUUUAUGAACUCUCUAUUCGGUUCCAACCAGAAAGUGUAUGACACUAAUGGGGCGAUAGCUCAAGCCUGGGAAUCAAGGUCUCAUCAAGAUCCGAACUCAAAUGAGAGACUGAACCACAUGAUUGAGAAUCAUGUAUAAUGGUGACGUCGUUAUUCUCAAGGUUGCUUCUAUGGAUAACACAUAUAGAUAUCCACUGUCUAGGCCUACUAUUCAGCCAUUUAUGAAAUGACUACAGAAGAGGUAUCAUCAAGAUGACCAAGCUGAUUGGCUCUAGUGCAAGUGGGAGAUUGUUGGAAAUGUGCCCUAAAGCCAAUCAUGUGUGAUGAUACUUUACGGACAUUUCACAUGUUAAAACUAAUCUAGUUUUACAUAUAAAGGGCAAAGAUUAUUGUUUGAGCCGUCUCAUAUAAAUGUUAUAUGCUUAAACGAUAAAGUCCAAGGAAUAUGUGAUUGGGAGAAUGUAAUCUAAUGAAGUUAGAUUCAUGAGACCAUUCUUUCGUAGACACAUCCUAAACGUUCCUGAUCAUAGGAUUGCCAAUUGGGCAUUGACAGUCCGUUAAGAUCAGUACGUACUAUGUCUUCUCUCAGGGAGAGUGAUUAGUCUCGAGUCAUUGGUGUGUGUGACAUCAAGACAAGUACGGUAGGUGCUCAAUAGAGAAUGAGUUCACUGAACGCGAUCAACGAAGAGUUCUCAUAUUCCAUGUCACAUGAGAACUCAUGGUUGGGAUAAUGCAAAGUAGUCCUUUGACCUGAGGCAUCAUAGUUGUCUUGUGGUUAAGUCCUUGAUCUUUGAUUAUGUCAAAGUCACUCCAUCAGGAGGGUGUCCACGGCAUCGUUGGGGUCAAAGCCACUUAGCUAUGGAGACAAGUGAAUGCGCAACAAGGGAUCUCUAACCUUCAAACCGUUUGAGGGAGAAUACUCUAUGAUAUGAUUUGAAUCUCUGGCCAGAGUAUGAAUGAGAUUUAGGGAAUGCGUUCCGAAAUCACAUUCAAGGAAAUCAUAUAAGCACAAGACACACAUUGGAUAGUAGACAUGAGAAAAUAAACUAUCAAACCAAACAAUGUGGUCAAGAGUAUUAGAUUAGAGAAAGACCGUAUUGCAUUUGUAAUCUCGAACUGAAUAGGUUCUCCACCUCUUCUGAUUAGCUUGGGUAACCAUGAUAUGCUGCUAGGUGUCACUCAUGGUUUGUGGAAGCCCUAAACGUGUGUAAUCACUAAAGGGAGAAUUGAAAAUAGUUUCAAUUCACAAUCGAUGUAAAAUGGUUUUAAUCGCCCACUACCUCGCUAAAAGGAACCUAAUGGAUCGCACACCAUAAAAGGUAGAGAUUGGAGAUUAAACGGAAAUGAGUAAGAAUGAUUAAAUGGUUUAAUCAUUUAUUUAUGGCAAGGAUUAAUUAAUAUGUUAAUUAAUCAAACGAAUAAGUUCGUUAAAGACUUCGGGAUAGUUUUGGACCUUAAGGCCCAAUGGGCUUCGAACGUCAAGCCCAUUAACUUAAGUUGUAUGACAAUUUAAUGAAUAAAGAUUCAUUAAAGCCCAAAAAGCCCAAAUCCCAUUAGGUGGCCGGCCAUGAAGAUGAAUUAGGGUUUUUGGUUGUUUAGGUCACUUAAAGAAGUGACUAUAUAAAUGACUUUAUAGCCAAAUAUUCAUUAAGGAUUAAAAGGGUUAAUUUUUGGGGAAAAUUGGUGAGAAUUGUCUCUCCAUUUUCUCUCUAAAGAGGCCAACACCUUGGAGGGUACAUCUAGCAAUCCUACUACUCCAAGGUCACUCAUUUCUUCUACAAUCUAACCUUGGUGAAGAGACUUAGAGGUUCUCAAUUUUGGGAACUUGGAGAACCUAUUCUUCCAUCCAAAUCCAUGGAUCUAAGAAGCAAGGAAUGAAGGCCCUAUCUCUUUGGGUGAUUAGCCUUUGCUUAUGCAAAGAGGAAUCUACAAAGGUAUUAAUUUCAACUCACUUUGUUUUGAGUUGAAAUUGGUUCACCAAUCUACUAGGCUUUGAAUUUCAUGGUAAUGUUUUGUUUUUUGAGUGCAUACAAGCAUGAUUCCGCCUUUAAUUGUUAAUUGCAUGCUAUAUGAUGUUGCUCAAAUGAACAUGUUUUCCCAAAAGAUUUCCUUCACAUAUCAUGUUCGUCUGUAUGUUGUUAGUUCGAUUCAUGUUCAAACCCGCAUAUACAUAUGGUUUUUGUUAACAUUUUUCAAAGUUCCAUGGACGAAAUUAAUCAUGACAUUUAAACAAGAGCAGGGAUGAGUUUAUACCUUCAUAAUCGAUAGAUCAAGACUUUCAUGAUGUGCCAUGCUUUAUGUCCAGUGGAUUUUCAUUUUGAGAGUUCUUUCUCCGGUCUGUCACGGAUCUGAGUGUUGUGCACAAAUACCACACCAUUAUAAUUACAUGCAGAGGUGAUGAAGCUAUUUUCUUACAACAUGGGGUUCAUUAACCUACGGAGUACAAGAUUUUUACCUUUUGCAGGAACUGGAUCUACAUUGUAGCUGGUUUUCAUUUUUCUUGUCAUGGUUAAGCUUCCAGAUCGAGGACCUGUGCCCACAAACGAAAUAAACAUCAGUAUACACAUGCAGUAUGGCGUAUCUGAGACAUAAAACCCAUCAUAUGGAGCUGCUCGAGUAACAUUAAACAGAUGCACAUAUCUUACCUUCACAUUUCCAUGGCAGAAGUUGAAGGGUUUCGGGUUUCCGCAAAGACAAGGACGUGGUGUAGGUCGGCUCGGAUUUGCAACUCUUGGGGGUCCUCACACAGCUGAAACGACAUGCAUGUGUUAGAUCUCACUGCAUUUCACUCAUACACAUAACUCUGAAACUGAACCCAAAAGAUUUUUGAGGGAUUUACCUUCCUUCAUCUCAGCUUUUCCACUCUUGUCACCAUGGUUGUGUUCGAGAAACACGGAGGUGUGUAGAUAGCUGGGCUGUUGGUUGCAGCACGGAAGCCACGUUUAGCGAGGAUGCAGAAGCAGCUGUGGAAAGGAGGGAAAAAUGUGGGGGAAAGAGGUAUUUUUCGUUUUACAGAGACAUGGGAUCCGAAAGAAAUGAGAAAAACAAUAAAUGGGAGGAAGAAAGAGUUGCUGUGAAAUGGAGAGAGUAAAAGCAUUUUCAGACUUUUCUAGAGAGAGCUAGAUGGGCAUAUGGGGUUGAUCUUAACCCUUGAUUUGGAAUCCUAUGGCGCUCAUCUUUCCGAUGCAUGACAAGUGGGCGCAUCCUCUUCUUUUAGGCUCCCGAAGACACGGUUUGUGGGGAGAGAGCCCUUUGGGCUCUGUGUUUGAUGACUGACAGAGACAGAAAAAAAAAAAAUCUGCACGCCACUUUCACACGGCAUGCUAGUUGCAUGCCUUUCAAAAAGGGAAUCCAAAGUUUUAAAUUGUUGGUGCACGCCUGCUGUGCACAUGGAUUUGGUCCUAUCUUAAUCAAGUGGGUGCUGUGGCUGAUAAGUUUAUUUUAAAAAAUCUGCAUGCCAGCUGCCAGUCACUUUCAAAUAGGGAAUCCAAUGUUUUCAAGUUUUGGUGCACAUGUGCCGUGCAACUUCAUUAUUCAACCUUUUCAUUGGGCCACCUAUUUAUCCACCAGCAACGUCAUUUUCAAAGCCCAGGUAGUCUUUUUCUUUUUCUUUGGUUUUGUUACUCAUUUUCCCUUUUAUAAUUAUUAUAUGUUAGUUUAAGUUUAUUUCAUUUUUUUUAUUUUCCACACCUUGAGGACAAAGUGUGAAAUAAGUUUGGGGGUGAGUAAAUAACAUUUUAGGUCUUUAAUUUUUGUGUCGGUUAAAAGUUUUCAUUCUUUUUAAGUUAAUAUCCAUAGAUUAUUUUAAACGUUAGAACAAAUGGACAUGGUGAAGGUUAAUCCCACAUUAGAGUCUUUGCUAUUUAUCGUUGCUUAGACACUAAUUCAUGAAUUAUACUUUGAACUUUGCACAUCACACCAACAUGGUUUGUGGGGAGUGAGAUUGAAACACUUGCUUUUAGUAUAAGUUUAUUUUUAAUUUUUGUUUUAAGUAAAGUCAGUUAUUAUUGUGAAAAAAAGUAAUAAUUGUCUCACCUGAGGUUUUUCCUAGUAACCGGGCCAGUCCUGCCUAAUCAGCAGUGAUUCUCGCGUCAAACGGUAGAGUUUUGGCAUGGGGCAGGGUGGUUAGUUGGUUUCGUAGCCUUUUCAGCUCGGGUUAAUAAGUCCUUAGGGGUGUUCUACACCUAGUGCCCUAAAGCCCUAGUGGUUUGGGAGUCAUUGACCUAAAGCUCGCUACAUGGGUUGGAUCGAAAGCUUAAGUGAACCGACAUUGCACGACCACUACUGUUACUGAGAAAAAAAAAUUGUUAUAAAUGAGAAAAAAAAAGAAGAGAAAAAAAUUGAAGAGAAAAAGAAAAAGCAAAAUAGUUAUACUUAAAGUUAGUAUGUGUGAAAUAAAGAAAGACGAGAGAUAAGGGUUUUAGUCGAGUCUCCUUAACUAUGUGGUUCACUUUACACCAAAGGAAGUUUGUGAAUUCUUUUCUAAUUGAUUCUAAAUGGUUUAGACUCUGUGGUGGGAUUAGUUGGAACUUUUGAAAAGAUGUUCUAGUUUUUAAAAUUUGCUAUGGAUUGCAACUUGAAGGUGGAAGUUUUGUCUUGGUUGAGUUUUAGCCAGUUGUCUAGUUUGUUAAGUUUUUAUUUUUGUUUGAGUCUUGUUUUGCUUGAGGACAAGCAAAAAGCUAAGUUUGGGGGUAUUUGAUGAGUAGAUUUUAUAUUAUAUAUUUUACCCUAAUCUUAGUAUAUUUUGGCUAAUAUAUUGAUAGAAUUUUGAUACUUUGAAUUGUAUUUUCAAUAUAGGACUUCCGAAUUCCUCUGGAGCAAAACAGGACCAAAUGGACGACUUUUGGAGUAAUUCCAGUUGGAGGACGUUCGUGAGUCACUUAGCUUGAUCGUGUCAAAAAUUGGGAUUUUUCCACCAAGCGGUUAUUUUCUGACGAUGAAAUAAAGAAGCAGUGCGCAGUGCUGGAAAAUGACGUUUUUGGGCUUAAAUUGCGUUUUUGGAGCCCAAGAUGACCUCGGAUGGGUUUGUGGCCUUCUGGAAAAAUGUUCAGAAUAUUCCAAACAUUAAAUCCAGCUAUAUUGGGCCAGUUUUGGAGCAGCUUAUGGAUCAAAACGUGGCUGUUCAGAUUUUAGACGAAUUUUAUCAUUUAAUUUAGGCUUAUGUUUCCUAGGGUUUGUGUGGAGGCUUGGGAGAUAUAUUGCUUGGCCGUCUACAGUUUUUCUUUACGCUUUCUUUUAUGCAAUUUUGGGAGACAGAGAGAAUUGUUAGGGUUUUGAAGACUUUUUACUUGAAGGUGCUUUCAAUCCUUUUCUUGAAUAUAUUUUCUAUGAUUUCAAUUAUGAAUAUGCGGAACUAAUUUCUGUUGCUAGGGCGAAGCCUUGAGCCUUAGCAUGAAUAUGUGAUUUUUAUUUAAUUGCUUAUGAUUGAUUGCAUGUGUACUUUGAAUUGUUAAUCACCGGGAUAAAAACUAUCUAAUUGUCGUAAUGCCUGAUGACCAUUAGGAUCUUUAGAAAAGUAAUUUGAUGCAAUUUUGGUCGGAAGGUUCCCUGAAAUUGACGCUGGCUUCUUGUGAUUAAUAAUUGUAAUUUCUCUUAGGAUGAAUAUCACGUCUUAAGGAUUGCAUGGUUUUUCAAAGGAUUUUCAUAAAGCAUAAUGAGUCUUUCAUGUUUAGAUUUGAUCCGAACGUCCGGACGGGUUGCAUGUUAGAUAUAUGUUCUAUGUUGGAGGUUCCAAGUAGAAUAGGAAUUAGGAAAAUCUAACCUUCGAAGUGGCAUGUGUAGAUUAUAAGUAAUUGGUAAAAAUUCAUAGGAUUGCUAGGUGAUGGUGGAACCCUAGUGCUUUCUUAAUUUUAUUCUCCCAAAACAGUUUUCUUUUCUCUCUAGCUCUAAUAUUGCAGAUUGUUUAUUUUAAUUCAUUAAUUUGGUUUUUAUUUUAAUUAGGUUAUAAAAUCAAUCACUUCAAUUUCUAUUUUACAAUAAUUAAAUGGAAUCUGAUUAGUUCGAAUUUUUUAAUAAUCCCUGUGUAGACGACCUUGCGAGAUCCGUUUGUACUACAAUAACCUUGUGAUUCUUGCAAGUAAAAUAGGAGAUUUAAGCCCGUUCACAUGAGUAGUAAAAAUCCUAUCAGGAUCCAAACAUAUUCGUAGUAGUGUGAGUUGCAGCCGUGUCUUCAAGCUCAAGUUCAAUUUGUCCCUGUUGUGUUAGCUUUAUGAUGAGCUCCUUGAGAACAAAAUACUUACCAACCAGAUGACUCACGAUACGAUGGUAUUUGCAGUACCUAAGAUCGUUAACGUGAUUCAUAUCUUUAGGGCACUUGCAUUCAGGUAGCUUGAUUACUUUCUUUUCUAACAAGUCGUCUAGCAUUAUGGCCAAGUCAGAGUUCAAAAAAGGGUACGUCUUCUAGUCCAGUUCCCUCAAGGUGUUUUUAUACCUAUCUUGGGUGCGAGAAGGCUCACCUCUCUUCAUCUCCUUUGCUUUGUUCUUGGAGGAGAUCUUCACGAGCGCGAAUGAGGUCUUGAUGGGGGUAACGUUGACAGUAAAAGCUUCCUUGGCGAGCUUCUUCCUAGUCUUAUCCACCUUCGGAGCAAACACCUUGUCUUUCUUGAAGUCGUGAUUGGCUCUUUUUCCCAUGAUUGUUGAUACUCAACUCCAUGUUGUGUCAUCGAGUUGCCAACUCCUUAAACAUUCUCGAUUUUAUGCCCUAGAGGAUGUAAUGUAACCCCCAGUGCAUGCCUUGAACACACAUCUCAAUGGCGGAGGUUUCAGAAAGCUGAUCUUUACAAUCCAGACUUAAUGAACACCAUCUGUUGAUGAGAUAGUCUCCCUCCGUCCUAGUAUUGUUGCAGGUUUUGAUGAAAUGGCCAAUAUGUUGUUUAGGAUUGCCCUUUUCCAUUGAAUUGCAUGAAUUUUGGCAGCUAAUAACCCAUCAGCAUCCUCAAGGUGUCAAUCCUUUUAGAGUAUGGCUUUGAGUAUAGCACGGAAUCAACGCCUUGAUCGUGCUUGUGAUCAUCUCUUGUAGCUGUUGGAUAAAGAGAUAUCUCAUGAGCAUCGCAGCUCUAUCCACCUCUAGCUUCUCUUCGGCUCUUUCCACCAGAGGCUUUUGUUCUUGUCGAUUUUUUUCUUUGGUGGAUCAACCUUUAGGUCAGCUUUCUCAUUGUGAUGCGCGUUUUGACGAUUGAUGAGUGUAGGGAUCUGCAAGCCUUUUUCCUCUACGGUCCUUAUCAGCCUUGCGAUUACUUUGCUCAUUUAUGCCAGCUACUCCUUGAUGGAAGUUGCACCAAUAGUCAUGACUUGAAUGGCUACAGAUACGAACUACUGCUUGAUUCAGCAUUGAAAGUCAAUGACUCAGAGUACAUCAUCGGGCUUUCUUCCCUUGGUGCCCUUAGUGAGGCCAGGGUGAUCAUGGGCUCGUGUCUCUGGUGCUUUUGCUUAUUCAGCAGAGUUGAUGUAGGGGUGGAAGGCAUGGCAGAGAGAGCUCUUGCUUUACUUCGGGUUCUGAUGCCCAAAAUUCCACCACUUGCAGCAAGGAUGCUCUUGUUCUUCGUGUUGGUAACAGGAAUAGCUUGAUCAUUUGUUGAUGUCAUUUGUGCUUUUUUGCUGCUUUAAAGACAGAGAUGAGAGGCAGAGAGGUCCCACUGGGCAUGCCAAAUUUGUAAACAUGAAAAUUAUGUAACGAAUGAAACGAGAACACUUGUACAAAGUAGAUUUCUAUUGAUUUGAAUUUGUAGGUUACAAUCUCUAUUUACAAUUUUCCUAUGAUUCAGUCUUCAAAUUUCAUGUAAAUGCGUAGGUUGUUGAUCCAAGGGCCGCGAUGAAUUGAUCUCGGACGAAUGGUUGAAUGAUUGCUUUAAAUUUUAAGCUUGAAACAAUGCAUGGAUAGCCUUUACCUCAAGGUGCGGCAAAGAUGAUGUUGAUGCGGGAUUUCAUUGAUUCAAGGGUCUUGGCGACUUGAUCUUGAAAUGAACGUCAUUACACGUUUUAAGCUUGUAACAAAGUCUUGAAGCAAUUGGCACAGGUGCUUGUUGAUUCUUCAAGGGGAGUGCUUCGCUUUUAGUCAAAAGAAAGCUUCGGCUUUAGUUGUACGUUCUUCGAAGAGAGCUUUGGCAACAUAUUAAUCUUCAAAGAUUUGUGCAAUUUUCGACCCCUUUGUGUGUCUUAGAUCCUUGUAUUUAUAGACUUCCAAAGCCAUGCCUUUGGAUGGAUUUGGCUUUGAUUUGUGUCUUGAUUCAUCCAUGGAAGAAUUUUGGCAUUUUAUGUGUCUUAAUUUCAACCACCUUUCUCAUAUUGGCCGAAAUUUAUAGGCCUUGUUGCCUAUUUGUGAGCAAUCUUCAAUUCUUGCUUAUUUUGUGAAAAUGAUUUGGCUUUCUUUCCAAUUUUGAGAGAUUUUGGGCCCCUUGACAAUUUUAAGGGAUACUUUCUCCCUUAUGCCAAAUUUUGGAAAGGUUAUGUACUUCCUUUGCUUGAUUUGUGCCACAUGUCAUUGAUGACUUGUCCAUUUGUGAUGAAUCAUAUGCCACGUGGAACUUUGUGAUGCAUCAAUUGCGUGCAACAAAAUUUACAUGUCUACAGUCCUUCCUGGUUGUUACAAUGCAUAAAACUUUGAUCUUGGCAGCUGAGUCUAUGCACGUUGAUCAAGAUGUUGUCGAGUGUGUUAAGGAGGUUGAGGUGGCAUUGACUGCUCAGCUUUGCUUGGCUGCUAAAAAGAUUGAGAAACUCAAAUCUGAACUCGCCAUUUUGAAAGGAUCUAAUGUCUUUGCCUCAACUUUUGUGCAAUUAGAGACCGUUCAUUAGAAGGAAGUUGAUUUGAGGCUAAGCUUAAUUCGACUCGGGCAAUGUUGGAAGCUACAUAAAAGGAAGUCAAUGACCUUAAGCAGGUCAAUUCUAAGCUAUUGUCUACUUGUUUUUCCAAGGACGAGGAGAUUGUCUUCAUGCAUGCUGAAGCAUCUCGUCUCAAGGAUAUUGAAAGUAAGUUUGAGUCCAAGGCAGUGAAUCUACAAGGUACAUUGUCUGCUAGCGAGAACCUGAAUAAUGAACUAGAUAAGCUACAGGAUGCUCACACUAGGCUUUUUUAGGAGAAUGUGUAGCUGAAGAAUGAGAAGGACAAUCACGAAGCGGUGCUUGCUUCUUGUUAGGCCGAUUUCUACAAGCUUGGCUAUGUAGACCAUCUCCAGGGUAGGGCAUCGAAUUAUGAGUUUUUCGAGAAUGAAUUCGAGACUUUCUCCAUUUCUCCAAUUGAUUUGCUUGACUUCUCGUUUGCAUAUGCCUUUGGUGAAGUAGUAAAAGGCCAGUCUAUCCAGGUCAGAGAGGCUGAGGAUGAACUAAUGGAAGCUUUGGUUGCUGAGAGCAGUGCGGUUAAUGAAGGUGUGGCAGUCAAGGAACCAGUGACUGUGCAGUCUGCCGAUGAGUAGUCUUUUUGUUUAGACUGAAGAAUUUUCUUCUUUUCUUUUUUGUUUUGCUUUAUUUGAACUUUGUCGACCUUCAAGCCAGUUUAUCAAUUUGCUAGAAAUUUAACAAACAACUUUCCUUGCUUUAAUUCAUCCUUGCUAUUUCGCCAUGUCUCUUGCAGAACUUCACCAUAGGAUGGUCAGCUAGGUGAACUGCUUCGAGGAAGCAGUUGUUCCCACGUCGUUUUAGUUUCAGCUUCGAGGCUUUGGGAGCCUUGCUUGCUUAAGGCAACUUGCAAAACUUUUUCAUAGGAAGGGCGGCUAGGUUGACUACUUCGAUGAAGCAGUUGAUCCCACGUCGUCAUUUUAGGCUUUAGUAUUGGCCUUGAUGCUCAGGGAGCUUUACCUACAAGAGAAAAUAUGCAAGUUCCUAACUUAUAGAACCGGCGGCCGGACUUGUGGCUUUUGUAGAAAGCAGACGAGUUCGCGUAACUGCUGUAGUUGUGAACUUUGGCUUUUAUGACUACGCGAGCCUUGGCCAUGUUGCAAACUUUCUAACUUAUAGAGUCGGCGACUGGACAUGUGCUUCUUGUAGAAAGAAAAAGAGUUCGCGUUGCUGCUAUAGUCGUAAAUCUCAGCAUUAACGGCUUAACGAGCCUUGGCCAUCCCUUGGGAUGUUGGAAAAUUUCUAACUUAUAAAGCUAGUAGCUGGACACGUGCUUCUCGUAGAAAGCAGAGGAAUCCACAUAGCCACUAUAGUUAUACAUUUCAGAUAUUUGACAUGCCAAUGUAGGUCUUGACUUACAGAUUACCUAGUAGGUGUAAGCAUGACCACUUCAGGCAUUGUCCUUUGCUCUCGGAAGCAUUUUAGGCUUAAGUUGUAUGCAAAAUCAUGACUCGAUGGCCAUAUCCUUUAGGGCUGCUAGUCCCUUAAUCUUCUAAGCUGCACGCAGCUCAAUAUGGUGAAGGAAAUUUUGUGAAAAACAUGUUCAUUUAAGCAACAUCUAUAGCAUGCAAUUAACAAUUAAAAGGUGGAAUCAUGCUUGUAUGCACUUAAAAACAAAACAUUAACCAUGAAAUUCAAAGCCUAGUAGUUGGGUGAACCAAGACUCAACUCAAAACAACAUUUGUUAGUUGAGAAAUUAUACCUUUGUAGAUUCCUCUUUGCAUAAGCAAAGGCUAAUCACCCAAAGAGAGGGCCUUCAUUCCUUGCAUCUCAGAUCUAUGGAUUUGGAUGGAUGAAAUGGUUUUCCAAGUUCCCAAAAUUGAGAACCUCUAAGUCUCUUCACCAAGGUUAGAUUGGAGAAGAAAUGAGUGACCUUGGAGUAGUAGGAUUGCUAGCUAAACCCUCCAAGGAGGCCGGCCACUUUAGAGAGAAAGGAGAGCUUAUGUUCUCAUCCUUUCCCCAAAAAGAAAACCCUAAAUGAAUUUUGGCUAUAAAGUCAUAUUUAUACCUUAAUUCAUUGGAGUGGCAAACUUGUAAAUAAGUCCAAAACUCACUCCAUCUCUAAAUGGCCGGCCUUAGGGUAUUAUUGGGCUAAUUGGGACUUUGUGAAUCAUUAUUCAUUAAGUUGUCAUACAACUUAAGUCAAUGGGCUUGACGUUCGAAGCCCAUUGGGCCUUAAGGUCCAAAACUAUCCCAAGGUCUUUAACGAACUUAUUCGUUUGAUUAAUUAACAUAUUAAUUAAUCCUGGCCAUAAAUAAUUAAACCAUUUAAUUAUUCUUACUCAUCUCCAUUGUUUCUUCAAUAUCCACUUUGCACGGUGUAAGAUCCAUUACGUUCCUUUUAGCGAGGCAGUGGGCGAUUAAAACCAUUUCAAAUCGAUUGUGAAUUGAAACUUACUUUCAAUUCUCCCUUUAGUGAUUAUACACGUUUAGGGCUUCCACAAACCAUGAGUGACACCUAGCAGCAUAUCAUGGUUACCGAAGCUAAUCAGAAGAGGUGGAGAACCUAUUCAGUUUAGGAUAAUACGGUCUUUCUCUAAUACAAUACUCUUGACCACAUUGUUUGGUUUGAUAGUUUAUUCAUGUCUACUAUCCAAUGUGAUUCGUGUGCUUAUAUGAUUACCUUGAAUGUGAUUUGGAACGACGUCCUAAAUCUCAUUCAUACUCUGGCCAGAGAUUCUUAAUCAUAUCAUAGAGUAUUCUCCUCCAAACGGUUCGAAGGUUAGAGAUCCCUUGUUGUGCAUUCACUUGCCUCCAUGGUUAAGUGGCUUAACCCCGACGAUGCCGUGGACACCCGCGGAUGGGGUGACUUUGACAUAAUCAAAGAUCAAGUACCUAACCACAAGACAACUAUGAUGCCUCAAGUCACAGGACUACUUUGCAUUAUCCCAACCAUGAGUUCUCAUGUGACAUGAAUAUGAGAACUCUUCGUUGAUCGUGUUCAGUGAACUCAUUCUCUAUUGAGCACCUACGUACUUGUCUUGAUGUCACACACACCAAUGACUCGAGACUAGUCACUCUCCUUGAGAGAAGACACAGCACGUACUGAUCUUAACGGACUGUCAAUGCCCAAUUGGCAAUCCUAUGAUCAGGAACGUUUAGGAUGUGUCUACAAAAGAAUGGUCUCAUGAAUCUAACUUCUUUAGAUCGCAUUCUCCCAAUCACAUAUUCCUUGGACUUAUCGUUUAAGCGUAUAACAUUUAUAUGAGACGGCUUAAACAAUAAUCUUUGCCCUUGAUAUUAAACUAGAUUAGUUUAGAAUGUGAAAUGUCCGUAAAGUAUCAUCAUAUGAUUGGUUUUAGGGCACAUUUCCAACAUAUGGAUCUCUAGGGUAGCAAUUGUAACUGAUUUCGCAUGUCACUUGGCUUGUAUUGCAACACUUUAGAGCCGAGUUACAUUCAUGAAGACUGCAUUUCAUGGUUGGACCAUCUACUUAGACAAAUCUUUCAUGGGCAAGGAUUCUACACUUAGCGUCUCUUCUGGUUAAAGACUCGGGUUCCCGCGAAAUUAAAUCUUUCAGUCGGCUAAGUCUUUUUAGGAAAAAGUCCAUUGUGGCCAAUUCUAGGAGCGUCCUAGCGCAGGUAGUUGAAGCAUUCAAAGGAACUGAGCAGUCAAACAACCCAUCCACGUUUGGAGAUCCCAAAUCAGUUUACCCUCUCUUGAUAGGAGAGCACACUCCAUGUUUGCUAGGGCAGGGGAGUCUUCUGCUUUGGCAGGGGUGGUCAGUUGGGAUGUUUAUAUAUUCAGCCCAGACUUGUAAAUAAUUCCUUCAAUCUUUAUUUAAAAUAGAGAACUGUAUUAACUUUGUUUGUAGGCAGAAAUAGCAUAACAACUGAUAAUCUUAGGCAUGUGAGGUCUUGUUUGUUGAGUUGCUUGAGUCUUUGAACUUUAUUUGUCUUGAAUAGGGUCAAAUGAAUGGUGGGAGGUCACACGUUGUACUUUCUUAGGUUGUAGGCAUUUCACUACUUUCUGAUCCUUUUUGUUGCUCAUAGUUGGUUAUGAAGGCUUUUCUGAUAACCAAGUCUCCUGGCUGAAAUUGCCAGAUCUUCGCCCUUUUAUUGUGGCUGUAGAGGAGCUGCUGUUAAUAAGCCGCAAUGCAGGUGAUAACCUUUUUGCGCUCUUCCUCUACCAAAUCUAACUUUGAAGCCAUCUUAUUCUUAUUCUACAUGGAAUUCGAAAGUACAAUGCUGAUGCUGGGCACCAUGAUGUUUGGAGGAAUGAUCGCCUUAAAGCCAAAUGGUAGGGAGAACAAAGUUUCACUGGUUGCUCAUCUUAUCCAGCCACUUGCUCUUUUUGUUUGAGAAUGACUUAUUGAGGUAGUCAAGAAUGGUCUUGUUGAAUGCCUCGACCUGCCCAUUGCCCUACGAAUAUCGAGGCAUGGUCUGUGAUGAUAGAGUAAGGGAUGCCGAAGAAAAUGAGUACUUCAAAGUAAGGGAUGCCGAAGUAGCAGAUGAUGUUUUUCCAUAUGAAGUGCUCUAUGUCCAUCUGGGUAGUUGUAGUCAUGGGUUCGACUUCAACCUAUUUUGUGAAGUACUUGGUCGCUACGAUCAUCAUGCAUCUGCCCCAAGUGGUAGGUAGCAUUGGUCCCACCAGGUCAAUAGCCCACUGUAUGAAUGGUUAAGGGCUCGUCUGCGGCUGGAGUUUGUUAGUAGGUAAUGCAGGCACGGGCUUGAAGCGUUGGCAGCUGUCGCACCUUUGUACAUACUCAUUGGCAUCUUGAUGCAUGGUUGGCCAAUAGUAGCCUACAUUAAAAGCUUUUUGCACUAGAAAAGGCCUCCAAAGUGGUUUCCACAAACAUCUUCGUGGAUUGAGCUAAGUAUCUUCAAGUUGUCGGGAGGCAAUAGGCAGUGGAGAUGUGGUCCUGAGAAGGAUCUGCGAACAAGCAUGCCAUUCCACAUAUAAUAGCAUGCUACCUUCAUCUAGAGCUUCUUAAACUCUAGUUUGUCUGUGGAAAGCGUUCCAUUGUCUAUUAUAGUUGAUGAUGGGAUCUUACCAACUCAGAGUUGUGUUGAUAUGCGCCACCUCAACUACUAAUUCCGCAUCUAUGCUCGACUUCUCCAAGUACUCGACCAGGAUUGAGCGUUUAACCUGAUGGUCUAAGUUAAAGCCUAGGCUUGCUAGUGCAUCUGCAUGGGCAUUUUCAGUUAGUGGAACCUAAGUAAGUGUGUACACCUAGAACAUCUCUAGCUACUCUCGUUCCUUCUCAAGGUAUCGAGCCAUCCUUAGAUACUUUGUUGCUUACUCCCCUAAGGUUUGGUUGAUGAUCAACUAGGAAUCCGAAUAAAUAGUGAGCUUUUCAACCUCUAGGUCUUUCGCCAAUCGAAGACAUGUUAGUAGAGCUUCAUACUCUCCUUUGUUGUUUGACACUUUGAUUGCAUGUUUGAGCAUUGAAUCGUUUGGGAUAGUGAGGACUAGACCUAUUCCCAAGCCUUGGUAGUUAAAUGAUCCGUUGACUUGUAGACACUAGAAAUCUCCUACAAGUAGGGUUGGUGCGGAUAUAGUGUGCUCGGCUGCCUCUAGGUGUUUCUGAGCUAAGUUUCUACGUCUUUUCGGCUUGGGGUGAAUUCUACUACAAAAUCCGCGAAUGCCUGGGUUUUUAUCACCGUAUGAGGUUGGUAUGCUAAGCCAUAUUGGCCAAGUUCCAACGCCCAUUUCUUCACUCAUUGAGAAACGUCUAGACUAUGCAAAACUAAUUGUUGGAAAUGUGCCCUAAAACCAAUCAUAUGAUGAUACUUUACGGACAUUUCACAUGUUAAACUAAUCUAGUUUAAUAUCAAGGGCAAAGAUUAUUGUUUUAAGCCGUCUCAUAUAAAUGUUAUAUGCUUAAACGAUAAGUCCAAGGAAUAUGUGAUUGGGAGAAUGCAAUCUAAAGAAGUUAGAUUCAUGAGACCAUUCUUUCGUAUACAUCCUAAACGUUCCUGAUCAUAGGAUUGCCAAUUGGGCAUUGACAGUCCGUUAAGAUCAGUACGUGCUAUGUCUUCUCUCAGGGAGAGUGACUAGUCUCGAGUCAUUAGUGUGUGUGACAUCAAGACAAGUACGUAAAUGCUCAAUAGAGAAUGAGUUCACUGAACACGAUCAACGAAGAGUUCUCAUAUUCAUGUCACAUGAGAACUCAUGGUUGGGAUAAUGCAAAGUAGUUCUUUCACCUGAGGCAUCACAGUUGUCUUGUGGUUAAGUCCUUGAUCUUUGAUUAUGUCAAAGUCACUCCAUUUGGAGGGUGUCCACGACAUCGUUGGGGUUAAGCCACUUAGCCAUGGAGACAAGUGAAUGCGCAACAAGGGAUCUCUAACCUUCAAACCGUUUGAGGGAGAAUACUCUAUGAUAUGAUUAAGAACCUCUGGCUAGAGUAUGAAUGAGAUUUAGGAAGUCGUUCCAAAUCACAUUCAAGGUAAUCAUAUAAGCACACGAAUCACAUUGGAUAGUAGACAUGAAUAAAUAAACUAUCAAACCAAACAAUGUGGUCAAGAGUAUUGCAUUAGAGAAAGACCGUAUUGCAUUUGUAAUCCUAAACUGAAUAGGUUCUCCACCUCUUCUAAUUAGCUUGGGUAACCAUGAUAUGCUGCUAGGUGUCACUCAUGGUUUGUGGAAGCCCUAAAUGUGUAUAAUCACUAAAGGGAGAAUUGAAAGUAAGUUUCAAUUCACAAUCGAUGUGAAAUGGUUUUAAUCGGCCACUGCCUCGCUAAGGAACCUAAUGGAUCGUACACCGUGUAAGGUGGAGAUUGAAGAAACAAUGGAGAUGAGUAAGAAUAAUUAAAUGGUUUAAUUAUUUGUGGCAAGGAUUAAUUAAUAUGUUAAUUAAUCAAACGAAUAAGUUCGUUAAAGACCUCGGGAUAGUUUUGGACCUUAAGGCCCAAUGGGCUUCGAACGUCAAGCCCAUUAACUAAGUUGUAUGACAACUUAAUGAAUAAUGAUUCACAAAGGCCCAAUUAGUCCAAAAAUAUCCCAAUGGCCGGCCAUAUUAGAGAUGGAGUGGGUUUUGGACUUAUUUACAAGUUUGCCACUCCAAUGAAUUAAGGUAUAAAUAUGACUUUAUAGCCAAAAUUCAUUAAGGGUUUCUUUUGGAGAAAAUUGGAGAGAACAUGUCUCUCCAUUUCUCUCUAAAGAUCUAGCAACUACUCCUCCAAGGUCACUCAUUUCUUCUCCAAUCUAACCUUGGUGAAGAUACUUAGAGGUUCUCAAUUUUGGGAACUUGGAGAAACUUUUUCAUCCAUCCAAAUCGAUAGAUUUUAGAUGCAAGGAAUGAAGGCCCUCUCUUUGGGUGAUUAGCCUUUGCUUAUGCAAAGAGGAAUCUACAAAGGUAUAAUUUCAACUCACUUUGUUUUGUGUUGAGUUUUGGUUCACCAAUCUACUAGGCUUUGAAUUUCAUGGGCAAUGUUCUGUUUUUGAAUGCAUGCAAGCAUGAUUCCACCUUUAAUUGUUAAUUGCAUGCUAUAGAUGUUAUUCAAAUGAACAUGUUUUAACAAAACAAUCCUUCAAGUGGUAUCAGAGCCUAGGUCUAGUAGUUGGUGAAUCCUUUUGGGUUUUGUAGCUCAUAGUUUGUGAUUUAAAAGUUGUAAUAUGUUACAAGCUUUAUUCUUGUUUCUUUGAAUGUAAAUUUUGUUAGAAAAUUUGUCAUCUCAAAUGUUGUAGAUGUAGUUCAUAUGAGCAUGAAUAUUGGAGCUAAAAUUUGGUGCCAUGAUUUUGGGAAAAUUCGGCCAAAUCCAUAGGGUGAUUUUUUGGGUUCUUGUUUGACUUGUUAAAAGUGUUUUAAAGUGACUUUUGGAACCCCUAUGUACCCUAGUUUGGUUAUAUGUUAUUUCCCUAAAGUUUGAAUGGUUUUGGGAUGUUUUUGGAUGAAAAAUGUUCAUGGAAAUUUUUUGGGUUUUUCAUGAAUGUUCUUCAUUGUUCUUGACAUUUUUGCCAAGAACAAAAAGUUUGGUGUUUUGAUUCAAAGUUUUGAUUUAUCUCAUAAAGUUUAUGUUUUAUGAAUUUUCAAAUGUUUAAAUGUUUUAGAUAUUUGUUUAAAUGGUGUAAGAAAUAUUGGUGGGUGUGUAAGGAUUAAUUUCCUUUCACACACACCACUUGCACCACUUGAUUGCUUUAUGUCUAAACUACAAAUCAACACACACAUCACUCCCUUUCCUUCUCCAAAACCGGCCCUCCCUCAAGUGGGAGUACUUUUGGGGCUUUUAUGCAAUUACAUAAAGUUUUGAUACUUUUGUGUAUUUGCACUUUGGCCCAAAAGUUUACGUUUUUACGUUUAGGUCCAAAAACGCUAAAGGACAAAUUGUUUUGCUCCUUUAAUGAAGUUUUUGCAUUGUUUAAAUUUUGGGUUCUAGUGUAAUUACAUGAAGUAGUGGACUUUUGUGUUCUUACAAAGUGACCCCAAAAGUUUAUGUUUUCGCAAUAUAGCCAAAAAGGUUGUGGUUAUUGCAUGAUGGCCCAAAUUAGGUAGAGAACAAAAUUGUUUUGUCUCUUUAAAUGAGAAUUGGAUUUUCAUUUCAUUUAGCUCCAUUUAAAUCAAUUUUAUGGAUACAAAAACCAAAUGAAAAUGUUGCAUUCAAUUUAAUUAGUUAAAGUGUUAAUUAAUUAAAGGAUGAUUAUGAACCUAAGCCUACGAUAAUUGAGCUAUGUGAUAGGCCGUUUCAAAUUUGUUUGAACCAUGGGAAUAUGUAGAUUAGAUUUUGGUUGUAAUUUGAUUUUAUCAAAUGUUGUAAAAGGGCAUAAGCUCUUCUUUACUUCAAGGUAAUUUGUUUUAUGCAAAUGUUGUAAUGAGCAUAAGCUCACCUUUACUUUGAAGUACUUCUUUCUUGCUUUAUUUGAUAUGCAUGAAAAUGAAGUAGUUGGGUCCAAAGCCAUUUUAUAAGCAUAAUGGGAGUAUUAUAUACAACUAAAAACAAUCAAAUGGACCAAUAGUUGGAGUAUUAUAUACAAGUCAACCAAACCAUUAUUAAGUUGAUAAGCGAGAGAUGUUUGGAAUAUCUCUUCGUGGCCUUCCACCGUGGUAGCUCCAAUCGUUUAUGACUUGUACACCGUCUUCACCCUAUCAUGGGGAAGUGCAAAGUGCAUGCUUAUACUCAGGAGGAGUCUAUAUACAUACUUGAUGAGGUGAGUGUAGGCAACGAGGAUGGCCAACAUCAUAUCAUUGUGAGGCUAUUCUUGAACCCCUUCAUGAACUAAGCAUGGUGGGAAUGACUUAACUAAGUGCAAUGGAGCCAACAUCAUAUCAUUGUGAGGUGACAUUCUCUAGAGGCCAAAUAAGAUGGGUACUUGCAUUAGAUGCAAAUGAGUAAGUGUACUCUCUCAUUGUUAUUAAUGCUAGCCAACAUCAUAUCAUUGUGAGGUGGGCUUGGUAGUAGUGAGUUUCCCAUACCCUACUAAGAGUUUCCUCCAAAAACUCUCGAAUUCCAACGAGGGAUAUGGAAUUUGCCAAAAAUAGUGGGUGGUGCUAUUUGAUUUAAAGACCCGGAUCAAAUGGUUUAAAAUCAAUCAAUUUAUAUUCGUUAUGUAUUUGUUUACCAAUAUAUUUGCAAACGCUAUCCAACACUUGACAAAUAAAAGCCGAAAGCUUUAGUUUCCGGACUUGGUACUACAAAACCAUAGAUUGUCUUUAAUGGCUUGUAAAUGUACCUAAGUAGUCUCAUCCUCACAAUCUUCCUAUUGAUAAUGUAUCAUUAGAAGAAUAUGUUAGAAAAUGUCUAUCAUAAUGAGGACAACACUUUUAAUGUCAUAAUUCUUCAAUUACAAAUUGUUGUAUGAAGAAAUAAGAGUUGCUUUGAACAACCCUUAAUCAAUGCAAACAUUAGUGCUUGUUUCUUUGUUACAUGAACAAGGAACUUUAGAAGUAAGCACAAGGGCAUGGACACUUUAUGUGCCAUGAUUCUUCACUUACAAAUUGUUGUAUGAAGAAAUGAGAGUUGCCUUGAACAACUCUUGGAAGUUUGUAAUUAUAUUUAGAACAUAAUGGUUGGUUGACAAAAAUAGUCCAUCAACAUGGACUUAUAAUGAUUUUAAAUCAUUGAGUGUUGAAGUGUUAAAACCACUUAAAGAGACGGAAACUAGGCAAGGACUUCACCUUUGUUUCCCUAUCCUAAUGGUUCACUAAGUUUAUUGUAAACUAUGUAGUAAACAAUAACCACAUACUCUCCAAAUUGUUUGAUGUGUAUAACACAAUUGGAAAAGGUUUCAAGAGAGAUAGUGGGAGUUUAGGGACCAUGACUAUUGUAGUCAAAGGAGAAGUCAAAUAAAGAAGAUAAAAUAACUCCAAGGGAACAAACUUUCUUUAUGAAAGGAUGGACAUUGGAAGGGGUAUUUGCAAGAAAUGUCUUGCAAGUGUCAAGAAACACACCUUUCGAAGGUGUUGUAAAUUGUUCAUGAAAAGUUCAAAACAGUUGGUUCUUCUACUUGAAUGCUUGAUUCCGUAUUAGUAACUAUGUUUUACAAUCGUUGUAAAAGUGUGACUAAUAAGAAGUAGAAGAUAUAUGAGAGAAGAAAAGGUGCUUCACAUUCGGAACGUGAAUAAAAUAUAGAUCUCUGCGAAAGCAGAUAGUACUUACUUCCUCAUAUGAACUACCAAAGAAAUUGGAAAAACCAAAGAUUGUCUUUACAUUCCAAUUUUAAGGAACUUAAUUCCGUCACUAUAGUAGAGAUGGAUGAAUGUUUUGUUUGACAAAACAUUGUUCUUUAUUAAUCAAUGAUUGGAUUAUAGUAAUCUAAUUGAUUGCCUCUAUAGUAGAGAUGAUAUGGUAGUGUUAACUGUUUAGAAUAUAAUGAUGCUUAAAACCCAAAAGGUUGCAAGGUAGUGACUAAUCCCAACUAAGUUGGUGAAAGAUGGAUGCUUUGGAUUGUUAGAUCCGGAUCCAAUACCUUCUUAUUAAAAUUGUAUAGAGGCGAAAUGUUCGAAUCUUUAUUCUUUUGGAAAGAAGAAAGAAUCACAAAGUUGUUGAGGUUAAUUCACUUAGAUGUUAGUGGCACUUGUCCACAACAUAAUACUACUCAUGUUGUAUGACAUUCACCGAAGAUCACUCUCGGUUGGACUAUAGUUUAUUAGAAUAAACACAAGUCCGAAUACUUUGUAAAAGGUUUCAAAGAAUUCAAGAAAUGUAAGUUGAUGAGUAAGACGUCUAAAGUCUUUACCUCCUUAGAUUUGAUCCAAGGAAAAUUAACACUUUAGAUGAGUUUCCUUGAAAGAUAUCAAGAAAAAGAAGCAUCAUAAGAUAAUGUAUUUCUCCAUUAGGAGAAGAACGAACUUGAAUAAGAUUUAGUUCGUUAGAUGUUAUCUAUUACCCUAUAUAGGAUAUAUACUUCUAAAACCAUAUGAUUGUAAAUUAGAAGAUCUUUCCAAAAUUUUCAUGACUCCAUAAGAUGUAGUUGGAAAGAAAGACAAAUCUUAAGCAUGUUAAGAUUUGGGGUUGUGUGCUAAUAAGCAAUAUUUGUUUGAUAACAAUCUUGUGGGAUAUCCUUAAAUUAACUUUUGGAUAUUGCUUCUAUAAACCAACUAACAAAUGUUGUUUUGUUGGGUAGUUCAUUGUAAUCCUACAAUAUGAUUUGCCUAUGAGCAAAUGAAUGAGAGAUAGAACUCAAAGAAUGGGUUCUUUGAGAGACAAGAUAAUAAUCAACAAAUAUAACAACCUAGUUCCUGUACCACAAGCUCCAAGAUAGUCUAGAAGGAUUUAUAAACGGUCUCAGUUGAAUGGUUUGAACUUUAUGACUAUGUCAUAGAGUUGCACCUCUUAAUUCGAAAGAAAUAAGAAUGAAAAUCCUUAUGACUACAUUGAAUGUAUAUAUGAUAUAUACUCAAGGAAAUGGUAAAGUACCAUUUGACCCGAAAUAAUGAAACCUUCAUAAGCUAAUUGGUAGCUUAAGGUGACUACAAUCAAAGAGAAUGGUUGACUUUGAAGAAACCAUCUUUGAGAUAGUCUUGGUUUCAAUUAAUUCAACGAUUGCUAGCUACAACUAAAUGGUGAUCCAAUAUUUGGACAUAAUAUGGGUUUCCGAAACCAUUAUUAAGAUAGUCUUGAUAAUAUAUGUCUAAAACUAUAAAUCACAAGACAUGUAAGUUGUAGAGAUCCAUCCAUCAUGAAUCUUAGCAAGCUAGUGGGAGCUAUAAGCAUCUUAUAAGAAAAGGAUCAAAUCGUUUGAUUUCUCAUAAAUAUGUAAAUGAAUCUUUUGUUUACUAGGUUUACAAAAGAUUAGUGGGAGUUAAUCAUGUUCCUAAAAUUUAAAUAUAUAUGAUAUAUUAAUUUGGGAAAUGAAAAGAUCACUUCUUCGUUAAAGUUAUGAAUUUAAAACAUUAUAUAAAGAUAGAAUGUAUAUGGGAGACAUAGUCUAUAUACAUGGGAUGGAAAUCUAUAAUGAUAGAUUUUAGGAUAUAAUUUGAUUAUAUCAAUCCCUAAUAAUAGACAAAAGAUGCUAGGAAGUUUCUCAUAUGAUGAUAAACUUCAAUCAAAAGGACAACUCUAGUAAGACUAAGAAGUUGCUCUUCUCAAAGAGAACGUACUCUUUGACUCCCAUAGAAAUAAUGCGUAAAUAGAAUCCUUUAUGCAUAAGCAGAAAAGAUGAUUUAUGUAUUUCAUAUUGUAUGAAAAACAUUGAUAUGAGUUGCACCUAGAACGGUACAAGACGAUAUCAAUGCAAGCCCAGGAUCAGAACCAUGGCAACUGUCAAGUGAAUCCUUAAGUAUUUAAGAAAUACUAAAAGGAUAGAUUCCUCAAAGAAUGAGGAAGAAUUAGAGUAACGUAAUGGAAGCGUAAAUGUAUUAGAUUGUGAAGUAUUAAAUUGUGAAUCUAAUCCAUCAUUGGAUGUUCCUUCAUUAUGAAUGAAGAGAUAAACAGAUAUCUCUUUAUUAUGACUAAAGAGAUAUUUGGAUGGAAACAUUAAAGUAAUGACUUUAGUGUUCCAUUAUGAAUGCAAAAUAUAUUGCCAUAUAGAAGUUUACAACAAUGUUGUUUGGAUGGGAAAGUUCAUUUAUGAACUCUCUAUUCUGUUCCAACCAGAAAGUGUAUGACACUAAUGGGGCGAUAGCUCAAGCCAGGGAAUCAAGGUCUCAUCAAGGUCUGAACUCAUAUGAGAGACUGAACCACAUGAUUAAGAAUCAUGUAUAAUGGUGACGUCGUUAUUCUCAAGGUUGCUUCUAUGGAUAACAUAUAGAUAUCCAUUGUCUAGGCCUACUACUCAGCCAUUUAUGAAAUGACUACAGAAGAGGUAUCAUCACUGAUGACCAAGCUGAUUGGCUCUAGUGCAAGUGGGAGAUUGUUGGAAAUGUGCCCUAAAACCAAUCAUAUGAUGAUACUUUACGGACAUUUCACAUGUUAAACUAAUCUAGUUUAAUAUCAAGGGCAAAGAUUAUUGUUUUAAGCCGUCUCAUAUAAAUGUUAUAUGCUUAAACGAUAAGUCCAAGGAAUAUGUGAUUGGGAGAAUGCAAUCUAAAGAAGUUAGAUUCAUGAGACCAUUCUUUUGUAUACGCAUCCUAAACGUUCCUGAUCAUAGGAUUGCCAAUUGGGCAUAGACAGUCUGUUAAGAUCAGUACGUGCUAUGUCUUCUCUCAGGGAGAGUGACUAGUCUCGAGUAUAAGUACGUAGGUGCUCAAUAGAGAAUAAGUUCACUGAACCCGAUCAACGAAGAGUUCUCAUAUUCAUGUCACAUGAGAACUCAUGGUUGGGAUAAUGCAAAGUAGUUCUUUGACCUGAGGCAUCACAGUUGUCUUGUGGUUAAGUCCUUGAUCUUUGAUUAUGUCAAAGUCAC